Molecule: long non-coding RNA, 65348 nt
Filed under: Triticum aestivum (bread wheat)
Lineage: Eukaryota; Viridiplantae; Streptophyta; Magnoliopsida; Poales; Poaceae
Description: long non-coding RNA (TAES_LNC016506)
Source: RNAcentral
UGCAAUUCCUUCUACCUUAUCUUUUGAGGUGGUGUUAUGUCACUCUUGACAAUUUCAUUCAUGUUUCAUGAUUCAUAUGUUGUCAAGAAUGAGGUAUUUUAAAUCCAUCAUUUUCUCUUUGUUCAAGAGAUCUUUUCGACCAAUCAAUUCUUCUUUGGAGUUAUCUUGGUAUAGAAUUUACCUAAAGCCUUCCCUAAGGAAUGUGUGGUGCUUAUCAAUGAUCCAAGCUUUCUCCAUAUCCUUCUCGGUGAAAGAGGUUUUUCAUCUCUUCAUUGUUCUCAAGCAAGCAAUUGUUUCCGUUAGUGGCUGGUUGUCACCUCAUAAUUUUGGGAUGUUUUCCAUAAGCCCACUACAAGCUUAUUCGUUUUGUUGUUGGUUUUUUCCAACAACUUCAUUAUAACCUUCUUGGAAGGGUGCUUUCUUAGCUCAAUUGUGGCAGAAGUUGGCAUUUUCUUCUUCAUUCUGUUAUUCCAAUGGUCUAUCUUCUAUUCCUUCUUUCUGAGGCAAUGUGAUGUUGCUCUCUUCACCCAUCAUCUUGUUUUGUCAAUAUCAUGUUCUUUUCGUGCUCAUCCAUUUAACCGGAGUGUUGUGUCAUCUCUUCAAGGCUUUCAUCUUAUCAAGUUUUGCCUCUCUUUCCAACCUGAGUGCUGUCUGAAAUCCUUCUUAACCAUUAUGCCAUUCUUUCAAUAGUUCCGGAGGCAGUAUGUUGUUGAUUUCAUCAAGUAUCCUCUCAUCUUGUCAAGUUCAUGUUCUAUUCCUUCCAUGUUCAACCGGAGUGCUGGCCGAAUUCUUCCUCUCUCAUCUGGUUGUAACCGGAGGUUACUAGUGUUCUCUAGAACCAUCGCCGUACUAUCAAUGCAGGGGAAGUACACCUACGUAGUGGCCUAGUGGGUACUCUCGGUGCUCUAUUCAGACGCUCCUCUCACGUAGUUGGCGUACUCAGCAGCUCCUCUCACGCACACACUAGCAGCCUGUUUAUCAGCGACAGUUACUGUAGGGGUAGAACAUUUGAGUUAUUUGAUACAACGAGACUAGGCUUUUCGCUUCCAUUUGUGGAGGUGUAAUGGAUCUCGUCGAACUUUGUUAGUAGUUCCUUCUUUAUGAAUGAGAUGAAGCAAAGCUUUUGCCUCCGUUUCAAAAAAACACGUCAAGAGGAAUUUCUUUUAUAGUAGAGCCGAUAAUGGAGUGAAGUCCAUGCAUGCAACGCCACAAGCUACAGAGUAGUAGUAGAGCACUUUACGUACAGAGCCAUAUUGCACAGUUCCCAAUGCCCCGCCAGGCUUUUCUAGAUCCUCGGGCUUAAUUGGGAGGCGCUAGUUUAAAUAUGCUACUAGCUGGAAGCUGCAAGCGAGGUGCGGCUAGGGCGAGCACGCGAGCUACGGGAUGCUGGGAAGGAAAACCCGUUCACGUGGCUAGGCUGUCCAGUUCACCCAGUUUGUGGGGCCGCAUGUCCGUUUGACUUCAAAACUCAAACUACUCGUGUAAAAUAUUGGCUCGAAGCAAAGUGUAGUAGUACUAUUUUAAAAAAAAGGCCGCCGUGCGUUCGGCCGGGAUCGAACCCACAAAAUGAGGUAGACACUCCCGCGACCACUAGUAGUACUCGUUGGAGUACAAUGCAACCUAGAAUCGCCUUUUGUCGCUAGUAGUAUGUACAUUGUUCCUUACAAGAAACCCCUAAGAGCAUGGUUAAUAGUAUAGCCAGCUGCUGGCUAUAAGCCAGUGCCAUGUCAUCUACAACCCAUCUUAUAGCCAACAUGUAGUACUAGUUUAUUUCUUAUAGCCCGCUGACUCAGCUCUAUUGUACUUGCUCUAAUAAUGCAAGAAACCACUAAAAUGCCAAGAAACUACUACCACUUGCAUACGUGGCAGACUUAAGAUAAGACUACCUUAUCAACCAUUGUACAUGCUCUUACCAACAAAAAUCCUCGAGUAACCUCCUACCUCUGGCCCGUCCACCUAGUCAUCCUCGGCCAUGGGACGCAGCUACCGCCGCCGGCAGAAGGCGAGGUCAAAACCGCCGGUGGUGCAGAUCCCAUGUUGCGGCAGCCCGGAUGCCAGCUCUGUCCGGCGCUCUCGGCUGCUAGCUAGCAAAGAUAGCUCCAUCCAGCAGCUUGUCUGCAAGGUUUGCUAGCUAGAUUGGCACGGCAGCGCGGUGGCUUGCUCGCGCGCGCCGCGCUAAGGCUAGCCAUUUGGCUCGAGCGAAGGCCAGCGCGGCGGCUUUCUCGCUCCCGAGUCACACUCGGGCCAGCCUGCCAACCCAUGCGGAGCCCAGCGCGGCGUCCGGCCCGUCCGGCGCAGCGGCGGCCAACUCGCUCAUCACCGGCACCACCGACGAACACGCAUCAGUACUGUUUGAAGUAAUGUUCAGGAAAAAUAAUGAUUUGAGGGGGAAUAAUAGGAUAGAAGGUCAGAUGUGGGUCCCUUGUGUCAACGGUCAAACAAAAUGUGUUAGUUUAAGCUGCCUUGCCAGCACGGACAUGUGGGCCAACCCUGUCAUAAAUGGGUUUAAACGAACCUAAUCGGUAGGAGUACUAGGUAGUUUUUGGCGUGGAUUAAGAAAUUUUGGGUAUGUUUUUGCUAUUUUUGUACAAUAGAUUCUUCCUAGGGCUGGUUGAAAGUGGUAGUUUUUUGUUAAAUACUCUACAUAUUGUAAGUAUGAGUGAAAGUUAAGCUUUGGAAGCCAAUAAGCACGGCUAGUUACAUAGUGCAUAUGUGUACAUGAUUGAAAGUAAAUAUCAACCAUGAGUGACUAAUAUCUUGAUGGAAAACUCGAAACUAUGGAAUACUAGGAAAAGAAAUGCAUGGUUGGAAAUACUAGCAAUGUUCAUGUCCGUUGCAACGAAUCAUAAUUAGAAUAAUACUUAUUCACAAACUUGGUACUAAACACUAUAUUUUUGAUAUACAUAUGUCACUAGAGAUAUAUUAUGUUUCAAUUAGAAUAUAUUCCUUGGGCUGUUUUGGUGAGGUCAGGGAGGGAUGUGGUUGGUUUUAAGAUACUAAUUAUGGGUUUUUCUGCAAAUUGGUAGACAAGUGGGAUGUUGGUGAGAAAAGGCAACAACUUACCUCACAAUCGUUAGAUGUAGAUCUAAUGGUCAGAAACGACGGAUGGCAGACACACCAGCAUCACCAACUUAGUCUUGUGUAGGAGUACUAGCAAGAUCCGUGCAUUGCACGGAACAUCAAGAUGCAUUUUUUAUAGAACACUUGUUGUGAUUGACCCUUGCGGGAGUAAUCCCAUGUGUAAAAACUAAUGAUAUCUCGAGAAAUAUGAGAAAAGGUGAAGAGGAGUGGGGUGUGGUGGUGGUUGGUGGUCGGAGAGAGAGAUACAGUGUGCGUGUGUGAUAUGUUAGAGACUGAGGCAAUGAUAACAGAUUCUUUGUGUCUAUGUGUGUGGAGGAUAGAGAGAGACAUGUACAUGGGGCUUUGUGUUGUGUAAUGUGGAGACACAUAUACAUAAUUAGAGAGUGAGUGUGUGAGAUACACAUGCGGACAUGAGGAGAGAUGAGGAUCCGGGUAAAUGGGUGUUUGUGUGUGUCUAUGUGUGUUUGUGCACGCAUUUGUGUGUGAGGGGGAGAGAGUGUAUCCGGAGUAGAGAGACCACUGAUGAUGUAAACCUAGUAUAAGGGAAGGGGGAAUGGUGUGACAUGUGUAGUUGCGAGAUAGCACAGGUGCGGGCGGGGGGAGCAGACUAUUUGGAAGAGACAUCGAGUGUGUGUGUGGGAGAGGGGUGUGAGAGCGAGAGAAAGAGAGAUCUGGCGAUGGAGAGAGAGAGAGAAAGAGAGAGAGAGAGAGAGAGAGAGAGAGAGGAAGAGAGGGGGCGAGAGGGGUCGUUUGUGUCCAUAAAUGGCGUAUAGAUAGGGAGACAAUGUUGACGUUGUCCGAAAUUGGCCUAUGAACGGAGACGCAAGGGAAGCGAGUCAUCGUGUGUGUGAUAGGGACUUCAUGAGAGAUCUAGAAUAGAUGGUGUAGAGAACAAUGUGCGAAAUCGAGAACGAUUAUACAUUAGGGAGCUAUGCAAAGAGUCACGACAUAUAUGUAUACAGGGAAGGAGCUGGGGCGGGUCUGCAUGUGGGAGAGAUAGAAAGAUGAGAGUGGUGCACAAGGAGACAAAGUGUGCUUGUUUGCAGAGGGGGUGGUGUGUGAGGUGAGUGCACGAGAACCACAUAACUAGGGAGAUAGACGUUUGGGGGCGACGUUCUGUGUGUAUGGGAAAUAUACACUCUACAUAGUGCGUGUGCUUGGGUAAGAGAGAUAGCGGGAGACGUAGGGAGUGACGGAAGAGAUGUGUGCAUGCCCUAGAGACAAAGUGAUAGAGACCUAUGUUGGGGUCCGGACUUUACAAGAGAGAGGGGUGUUAAUGUGCUCGUGUGUUGGUGUUUGGGGGAGAGAAUGACUUCUCUAUGUGUGUGUGUGUGUGGGGUGGUGGUGGGGGGGGGGGGGGGUUGACUUCAGAUAAAGAGUGAUGUGUCUAUAUUUGAGGGACUUUAGCGUAAUUGACAUAUUGUGCACUCAUGGUUGAUCAGUUUGUUUCACAGUUUGUACUAUGAGAUAAUGAUACUUUUGAACAUGCGUGAUAUACCUUGAUGUACCAGAAUUACAAACCUAAGAUUGGAAUUUUGGAAUUCGACUCCAUCAUUAGCUUUUGUAAUUCAUUUAAAUGGAGGUACAUUUUUUAAGCCGGGAUUUCGUGAUUUCAAAUUCAUAUAUCAAACCUAGAGACAUACACAUACGGGCAUGUUAAAACUUUAUAAUCAUCCACUUUAUUCAUACACAUACACAUUUUUGCUUUUGUCAUCAUAUUUAGGAUAAACACAUUUGGAAUUUCAUUUGAAUUGGACCGUAUGAUGGUAUUUGCUUGUAGUAGCUCAAUUAUCCAUAUUUGAAUUGAAUGGACAAUCUAAGUUUCGAGUUGGAGACAUUGAUUUUCAAAACUUGCACAUUCUUUUUGCGUGCAAAACAAACAAAUUGUCGGCCAUGAUAUCAUAGUCGGCCGUACAAGAGCAGAAUACUUAUAAUUUUAGGCGCCAAAAGCUUUCAAACUUCCCGCUCACAUCGAAAUAUCACGCGCUCGAAAGUUUAGCCCUGCGAUAUUCCUGUUUUACCCCUGCCACAUGAACGGAAAAGGGCUGCUUUGGUAACUCCAUUGUUUUCCCCUCUUUGCCCCCAACAUUCUUCCCCAUAGCCCCUCCCCUUCCCCUCCCCGACCCCCCAACCACGUCAUGCCGUCGAAUCUAGUCCUCCGUCGCAGCGGUGGACCUCACACCCCGCCGUAUCUACCUUCCGCACCUUGGAACCCACAACUGCCAACUCACCACUUCACAGGAGCCGCUUCAGCGACUGGCUUGUCCACCGCUCCAGAUCUCCUUGACCGCCAUCAUGGUCCACCGCACAGGAUCUGCUUAACUGACACCCUUGUCCACCAUAGCGUAGGCCCUUUACUGACUCCCUCGUCCGCCCCUUCGCUGGCCCUUCAUACAAGCCCUCGUCCGCCGCAACAGAUCCGCCUCACCGAAAGCACUGUACAACACGCCCGCCGAAGCCUUCGUCCACUGCACCGGACCCGCUCCACGGACGCCAUAUUCAACUCCACCGGCCCUGCUUUACCAACGCCGCAGCCUCAUCAGGUUAUUUCGAUUUGUACUCCUUCGGUUUUUCUCUUUAUCGUGCAACUGUUCACUUACCAUAGAUGAGCUUUCUUGUAUGUCGACAGGAACCGCAACCGUAGCACCGGAGCCGCUUCAGCGACGGCGACAGCCGGCCCAAACUCAACCGCAACACGAGCACCAUCGACAAUCCUUAGCUAACAAGUAUGACAACGAUACCCAUACGCCGCCGAGAAUCAGGUACUAUUAUCCAACGGCUGGUGCCUACGUUCACUUUCCUAGCAUAAGCACCGCAUGUUUGAAUUUCUUCAUGGCAUCAUUCAGUUUUUCAUGAGACGCGUUAUUUUGCUUGCACCUGUAGGGCCAUACUUCUGGCAGUGAACAUGUUACAUGUGCUAAAUUACAUACCAGUGCACAUAUAGUUAAUAUGCUUUAGUUUUUUUCUGAUGCCACCUGUUGGUUCCAUCAGACUGCUUAAUUUUCUCUAUGCUUAAUUACACAUCAGCAAACUAGCAUGUGGUUCCGCUGCUUUUUGUUCGUUUUACCCUACAUUUUCUGAUGCUAGCUAUUACAUCACUGCUCUGAGCCUCUGUUCAUUACUUGUUUGUGUGUUCUUGAUCUUCCCAAGUUGCAUGACUAAUUUGAUGCUUCUAUUAAUUAUGGAGCUGCAACCCCAUCAAGCAAAAUAUUUGUUCUUUUGGGGCUGGCACCUCGAACAAGCAUAAAAAUAGAGGGAAGCAGAUAUACUCCCUCUGAUUCUAUUUACUCUGCACAUAACUCUUGACCCGCAUACCAAGGAGGGCACUGGUUUAAUUUUUCUGGACUAAUUUGCCAAUUAAUUAGGGCAGAGGCGGAUGGGUGGGGCACAAAAGGAAACUAGCGCUAGGAAUCGGCAACGCGCAGACUAAUACGAGAAAACUGAGAAAAAGUUAUAUGCAAAGUAAAAAGAAUCGGAGGGAGUAUUGUCGUGUAUGCACACACCCUUCUUUCAUUAAUUUAGAUGAACCAUUGAUGAUCAAUUCGGACCAGUGCAUGCGAUUAAAAUUAAUUUUACCUAAAUAGAUGGUGCAGAAUAAACUACAACAACUAGAUUUGCAACCACGGGAUGCUGACGCUAUCUUCAAAGAACAUUGCAACAACAGCUAGGUUUCACAACAACAUAUGGUAAGCCAGUGUGUUUUAGUACAUGUGAAAUGUAAUGCGAGUGGGCUGCUUUCUUGGCAUACUCCCUCAACGUGUAAUCCUACCGAAUUACAAAUAGUUCAGUUGUCUGCUUUGCUCUAUUGCUUGAUUCGAAUGCUUAUUUGUUGUUACGCUAUACCUGAGUUGGCCAAUAUGUCAGUAGUGCCUGCUGUACUAUCGUAAAGAAAUGCAUGCCUAUUUCAUUUGAGUCCUUAACUUUUCCUCUCAACUUCAUCACAAGACUGUCUUCGUAGUUUAUAUGAGGCCACACUGUUAAGUGCUUUCUCAGAUUAUUUCAACUGCUUAGAUGCCUUGGCAACUUAAAUAUAGUGGUUGUACACUCCCUUUCAACUAGGGAUGUCAACUGGGUCCGGUUUAAUCCCGAUUAAAUUCCACUUGUGGUAUGAUAGUUCAAAAGAGUUUUUGUUUUUUUGAGGAAAAUGAACUAGGGAGGUAGCAAAAACUAACUAGAUGGGACUGGCGGAUUUUGUUUAUUUGCCACUUACAUCCCUAGUUUCAUCUUACCAUUUUAAUUUCUUUUCGGCUGAUGGUGCUUCGAACCAUUUAAAUAUAGUUUGCCAUGCUCAGCAAUAAUUCGUCCGUCGUUUACCAUGUAAGCUUACUGCCUGGAUCAUACGAUAACUAUCUCUUACUGAUGUCCAGCGGAAACCUUUCAGGAUGCCGUUCAUACUAGGACACAAUAUACAACCCCAGAAUCUAUUUGUGGAAGCAGUGCGCCAUCCAUGUUACCAGAUGGUAGCAGUUCAGAGGCAACACCACCGGAGAGCAGUCUGAGCACAUAUAUUAUAGUGCUUGAGGCUCUACUAGAGGCAGAAAGAGAUGGUGUGGCUGCCAUGAAUGAGGUAAUCUUUAUCUUGAGGCUGGAAAUUACGGAAUUAGCGGCACACAUUAUGCAAGCAACCCAAGAAUUGGAGGAAGUAAGAAUGUUGCAUUUGAAGACGGAGGAGGUCCUGUUGUUUCUGCUAUCUGAAGCCCAAGAUAAUCUCGGUUCUUCUUUAGAUACCAGUUAAAAUUUUCAUUAGAUUAUUGUACUUGCAUGUUGUGUCAUGUCUCUGAAUGGAUUAUGUUGCAAGACCCCCUAUGUUGUCCAUGUGUUGUAAUGACCCGAAUUUUUUAGGCGAGGUAAUACUCAGUACUUAUAUGAUUGACAUAAGGUGAACUGUUUUUCCUGUGAGCAUAUUGUAUUGGAUGAAAUAACUGUUUGACUCAGAGUGUAUCCAACCUACUGAAUUCGAAGAUCACGCCAUUUCUAAAUCAUAAUCAUAUAUAAAGGUGGAAUAAAUCUUUGUUGUGGUUUUGAAGAAAUAAAUAACAAAACGUAUAAUUAUCUGUGGAUAUUCGUAAUCGAAUACAAAUUGGAUUUGAAUUUAGUUUGCCAGGUCCCAGGGCAAACGUGAAUGCUAAUUUUCCCAAGUUUUGAACGAAGCGGCUAAACACCCACUAUAAUUUGUGGGUUGCCCGAAGCAAGUGUUUGCGAGAUGGAAAUUACUGUCUACCCUUGACAUUUGACAUCCUUAUCAACAAGAUUUACACUGCUGUCGAUAGGGGUAGACUAGUAAUUUCAAUCAGACGUGACACGACGGCCUCUGAGCCCAUUCAGACAUAGUGGGCGCCAAACGUGGGCGGCAAAACACAUUUGAUUCAAGGUCGUCGGAAAGACAUGUGUCUCUUCCUCCAUUUCCCCAUUCAUACAGGGUGGGCGGCAAAACAAACUCUCCUCAUCCGAAAUCGAUGUAGGCUAAUAUUUUAAAUAGGGGCAGAUGUGUAACUUCCAUCAGACGUGACACAACCGCCCUACCUGUUAGCCCCGUUCAUACACCGUGGGCGCCAACCGUGGGCGGCAAAACACCCUCUCCUCGCCCGAAAUCGAUGUAGGCUAAUAUUUUAAAUAGGGGCAGAUGUGUAACUUCCAUCUGACAUGACACAACCGCCCUACCUGUCAGCCCCGUUCAUACACCGUGGGCGCCAACCGUGGGCAGCAAAACACCCUCUCCUCGCCCGAAAUAGUUACCGGCAAAUAUUUGGGAGAUGCGAGAUUACCGUCCUAUCCCCAACCGACGCGAUGUCCAAAAUUUUAAACGGGGGAUAAGCUCGUAACUUUCCCCCAUUUCAGAGAAGCGCGUCCCAAAGUUUGAGAUCCCCCUCCCCUCCAUUUCCCCAUUCAUACACCGUCGGCGGCACGACAACCUCUGCACUGCGGCCAGCCUCCUCCGUCCGCCACCCCAUCCUCCACCUUGCCGGAGCGGCUACCCCUACCCCGUCGUCCACUGCAAGAGAUGGACAUCUCUUAUCCAUGACGCUGGACCAGGAUCCUUUCAUUGCCUCCUCUCGCUUCAUUGGCGCCGUCGUCCACCUUGCCGUUGCCGCUCCUACGACCGCCUCGUCCACGGCAACAGGAUAUAUCCCCCGACCCAACCGUCUACCAUCUAAAUCUUCUUCCCCGCUGCCGACAGCCAUCGCACCUGCAGCACCCUCAACGUAUCAGCAUAGGCCUACACGGUGUCGCAAGAGAGGUGGUACUCUUCCAUAUGUGCUUAAGUUAUUGAUCUCACCCGGAAAAUAGAUCGUAAUUUGUUUAUUGUACUUUUCUUUUCCGUACCAAAUCGUAGUGGCUAGUUGAAAGCAAACAUUGGUUGCGAAGUAGCUUUGUCCGGUUUGCACCUUCAAAUCCGCCAUGGCACGGGCACUAUACUCGUAAAGCUUAUGGUUUCCCCCCUUUAUAUUCACUACUAUCAGCGUAGGUGCUUCGUGUCGUGCUAGCACUGCUCCUCAAUGAAGGAAAUAUGCCCUAGAGGCAAUAAUAAAGUUAUUAUUUAUUUCCUUAUUUCAUGAUAAAUGUUUAUUAUUCAUGCUAGAAUUGUAUUAACCGGAAACAUAAUACAUGUAUGAAUACAUAGACAAACAUAGUGUCACUAGUAUGCCUCUACUUGACUAGCUCAUGAAUCGGAGAUGGUUAUGUUUCCUAGCCAUGGACAAAAGAGUUGUCAUUUGAUUAACGGGAUCACAUCAUUAGGAGAAUGAUGUGAUUGACAUGACCCAUUCCGUUAGCCUAGCACUUGAUCGUUUAGUAUGUUGCUAUUGCUUUCUUCAUGACUUAUACAAAGUUCCUGCAACUAUGAGAUUGUGCAACUCCCGUUUACCGGAGGAACACUUUGUGUGCUACCAAAUGUCACAAUGUAACUGGGUGAUUAUAAAGGUGCUCUACAGGUGUCUCCAAAGGUAUAUGUUGAGUUGGCAGAAUUCGAGAUUAGGUUUUGUCACUCCGAUUGUCGGAGAGGUAUCUCUGGGCCUUCUCGGUAAUACUCAUCACCUAAGCCUUGCAAGCAUUGUAACUAAUGAGUUAGUUAUGAAAUGAUGUAUUACGGAACGAGUAAAGAGACUUGCCAGUAACGAGAUUGAACUAGGUACUGGAUACCGAUGAUCGAAUCUCGGGCAAGUAACAUACCAAUGACAAAGGAAACAAAGUAUGUUGUUAUGCGGUUUGACCGAUAAAGAUCUUCGUAGGAUAUAUAUGAGCCAAUAUGGGCAUCCAGGUUCCGCUAUUGGUUAUUGACCAAGAAUAGUUCUAGUUCAUGUCUACAUAGUUCUCGAACCCGUAGGGUCCGCACGCUUAAGGUUUCGAUGACAGUUUUAUUAUGAGUUUAUGAGUUUUGAUGUACCGAAGGAGUUCGGAGUUCCGGAUGAGAUCGGGGACAUGACGAGGAGUCUUGAAAUGGUCGAGACGUAAAGAUCGAUAUAUUGGACUACUAUAUUCGGACUUCGGAAAGGUUCCGAGUGAUUCGGGUAUUUUUCGGAGUACCGGAGAGUUACGGGAAUUCGCCGGGAGAAGUAUUGGGCCUUAUUGGGCCAUACGGGAAAGAGAGAGGGGCUGCCUAGGGCAAGCUGUGUGCCCCCCAAGGCCUAGUCCGAAUUGGACUAGGGGGAGGGGCCGCACCCCCUCCUUCCUUCCCUUCUCUCUUCCCCUUCCUUGUCUCCUACUCCUACUACUUGGAAGGACUCCUAGUUAGACUAGGAAAGGGGGAAUCCUACUCCCGGUGGGAGUAGGACUCCCCUAGGGCACGCCAUAGAGAGGGCCGGCCCUCCCCUCCUCCACUACUUUAUAUACAGGGGCAGGGGGCACCCCAUAGACACAAGUUGAUCUACGGAUCGUUCCUUAGCCGUGUGCGGUGCCCCCCUCCACCAUAUUCCACCUCGGUCAUAUCAUUGCGGAGUUUAGGCGAAGCCCUGCGCCGGUAGAACAUCAUCAUCAUCACCAUGCCGUCGUGCUGACGAAACUCAUCCCCGACGCUUUGCUGGAUUGGAGCCCGGGGAACGUCAUCGAGCUGAACAUGUGCUGAACACGGAGGUGCCGUACGUUCGGUGCUUGGAUCGGUCGGAUCGUGAAGACGUACGACUACAUCAACCGCGUUGUCAUAACACUGCCGCUUACGGUCUACGAGGGUACGUGGACAACACUCUCCCUCUCGUUGCUAUGCCAUCACCAUGAUCUUGCGUGUGCGUAGGAAUUGUUUUGAAAUUACUACGUUCCCCAACAGUGGCAUCCGAGCCUGGUUUUAUGCGUAGAUGUCAUAUGCACGAGUAGAACACAAGUGAGUUGUGGGCGAUACAAGUCAUACUGCUAACCAGCAUGUCAUACUUUGGUUCAGCGGUAUUGUUGGAUGAAGCGGCCUGGACCGACAUUACGCAUACGCUUACGCUAGACUGGUUUUACCGCCGUGCUUUGCACACAGGUGACUAGCGGGUGUCUGUUUCUCCAACUUUAGUUGAACCGAGUGUGGCUACGCCCGGUCCUUGCGAAGGUUAAAACAGCACUAACUUGAUGAACUAUCGUUGUGGUUUUGAUGCGUAGGUAAGAACGGUUCUUGCUAAGCCCGUAGCAGCCACGUAAAAUUUGCAACAACAAAGUAGAGGACGUCUAACUUGUUUUUGCAGGGCAUGUUGUGAUGUGAUAUGGUCAAGACGUGAUGAGAUAUAAGUUGUUGUAUGAGAUGAUCAUGUUUUGUUGAAGUUAUCGGCAACUAGCAGAAGCCCUAUGGUUAUCUCUUGGUUGCAUAAGAUGCAAGCACCAAAUAAUUGCUUUACUUUAUCGCUAUGCAAUAGCAAUAGUUGCAAGAGCAAUAGUUGGCAAGACGACCAUGUGACGACACAUUGAUAUAGAUCAAGAUGAUGAAGAUCAUGGUGUCGUGCCGGUAACGAUAGAGAUCAUGACAGUACUUUGGAGAUGGAGAUCAAAGGCACAAGAUGAUCAUGGCCAUAUCAUGUCACAUAUUUUGAUUGCAUAUGAUGUUUAUCUAUUAUACAUCUUAUUCUUUUUUGAUUGACGGUAGCAUUUUAAGAUGAUCUCUCACCAAAUUAUCAAGAAGUGUUCUCCCUGAGUAUGCACCGUUGCGAAAGUUCUUCGUGCCGAGACACCACGUGAUGAUCGGGUGUGAUAGGCUCUAUGUUCAAAUACAACGGGUGCAAAACAGUUGCACACGCGGAAUACUCAGGUUAAACUUGAUGAGCCUAGCAUAUGCAGAUAUGGCCUCGGAGCACGGAGACCGAAAGGUCGAGCGUGAAUCAUAUAGUAGAUAUGAUCAACAUAGUGAUGUUCACCAUUGAAAACUACUCCAUCUCACGUGAUGAUCGGUUAUGGUUUAGUUGAUUUGGAUCACGUGAUCACUUAGAUGACUAGAGAGAUGUCUGUCUAAGUGGGAGUUCUUAAGUAAUAUGAUUAAUUGAACUUAAAUUUAUCAUGAACUUAGUCCUGGUAGUAUUUUGCAAAUUAUGUUGUAAGAUCAAUAGCUUGCGUUGUUGCUUUCAUAUGUUUAUUUUUAUAUGUUCUUAGAGAAAAUUGUGUUGAAAUAUGUUAGUAGCAAUGAUGCAGAUUGGAUCCGCGAUAUGAGGUUUAUCCUCAUUGCUGCACAGAAGAAUUAUGUCCUUAAUGCACCGCUAGGUGACAGACCUAUUGCAGGAGCAGAUGCAGACUUUAUGAACAUUUGGCUAGCUCAAUAUGAUGACUACUUGAUAGUUUUGUGCACCAUGCUUUAUGGCUUAGAAUCGGGACUUCAAAGAUGUUUUGAACAUCAUGGACCAUAUGAGAUGUUCCAGGAAUUGAAGUUAAUAUUUCAAGCAAAUACCCGAGUUGAGAGAUAUGAAGUCUCCAACAAGUUCUAUAGCUAAAAGAUGGAGGAGAAUCGCUCAACUAGUGAGCAUGUGCUCAGAUUGUCUGGAUACUUCAAUCGCUUGAAUCAAGUGGGAGUUAAUCUUCCAGAUAAGAUAGUGAUUGACAGAAUUCUCUAGUCACCAUCACUAAGUUACUAGAACUUCGAGAUGACCUAUAGUAUGCAAGGGAUGACGGAAACGAUUCCCGAGCUCUUCGUGAUGUUGAAAUCAACGAAGGUAGAAAUCAAGAAAGAGAAUCAAGUGUUGAUGAUUGACAAGACCACUAGUUUCAAGAAAAGGGCAAAGGGAAAGAAAGGGAAACUUCAAGUAGAAUGGCAAACAAGUUGUCACUCCCGUGAAGAAGACCAAAGCUGGACCAAAGCCUGAAACUGAGUGCUUACACUGCAAAGGAAAUGGUCUCUGGAAGCGGAAAUGCCCUGAAUAUUUGGUGGAUAAGAAGGAUGGCAAAGUGAACAAGGGUAUAUUUGAUAUACAGGUUAUUGAUGUGUGCUUUACUAGUGUUUAUAGUAACCCCUGAGUAUUUGAUACUUGUUCGGUUGCUAAGAUUAGUAACUCGAAACAGGAGUUACAUAAUAAACAGAGACUAGUUGAGGGGAAGUGACGAUGAGUGUUGGAAAUAGUUCCAAGAUUGAUAUGAUCAUCAUCACACACUCCCUAUAUUUUUGAGAUUAGUGUUAAACCUAAAUAAAUGUUAUUUAGCGUUUGCGUUGAGCAUGAAUAUGAUUUGAUCAUGUUUAUUGCGAUACAGUUAUUCAUUUGAAGUUAAAGAAUAAUUGUUAUUCUGUUUACAUGAAUAAGACCUUCGAUGGUUAUACACCCAAUGAAAAUAGUUUGUUGGAUCUCGAUCGUAGUGAUGAACAUAUUCAUAAUAUUGAUGCCAAAAGAUGCAAAGUUAAUAAUGAUAAUGCAACUUAUUUGUGGCACUGCCGUUUUGGUCAUAUCGGUGUAAAGCACAUGAAGAAACUCCAUAAAGAUGGAUUUUCGGAAUCACUUGGUUACGAAUCAUUUGAUGCUUGCGAACCGUGCCUUUUGUGCAAGAUGACUAAAACUCCGUUAUCCGGAACAAUGGAACAAGCUACUGACUUAUUGGAAAUAAUACAUACCGAUGUAUGCGAUCCAAUGAGUGUUGAUGCUCGUGGCAAGUAUCUCUAUUUUCUGACCUUCACAAGAUGAUUUGAGCAGAUAUGGGUAUAUCUACUUGAUGAAACAUAAGUCUGAGAUAGUUGAAAGGUUCAAUGAAUUUCAGAGUGAAGUGGAAAAAUCAUCGUGACAAGAAAAUUAAGUUUCUGUGAUCUGAUCGCAGAGACGAAUAUUUGAGUUACGAGUUUGGUCUUCAAUUAAAACAAUGUGGAAUAGUUUCACAGCUCACGCCACCUGGAACACCACAAUGUUAUGGUGUGUCCAAACAUCGUAACCGCACUUUAUUGGAUAUAGUGCGAUCUAUGAUGUCUCUUACUGAUUUACCACUAUUGUUUUUGGGUUAUGCAUUAGAGACAGCUGCAUUCACGUUAAAAGGGCACCAUCUAAAUCCGUUGAGAUGACACCAUAUGAACUGUGGUUUAGCAAGAAACCCAAGUUGUCGUUUCUUAAAGUUUGGGGCUGCGAUGCUUAUGUGAAAAAGUUUCAUCCUGAUAAGCUCGAACCCAAAUCGGAGAAGUGCGUCUUCAUAGAAUACCCAAAGGAAAUUGUUGGGUACACCUUCUAUCACAGAUCCGAAGGCAAGAUAUUCGUUGCUAAAAAUGGAUCCUUUCUAGAGAAGGAGUUUCUCUUGAAAGAAGUGAGUGGGAGGAAAGUAGAACUUGAUGAGGUAACAGUACCAGCUCCCUUAUUGGAAAGUAGUUCAUCACAGAAAUCGGUUCCUGUGACACCUACACCAAUUAGUGAGGAAGUUAAUGAUGAUGAUCAAGAAACUUCAGAUGAAGUUGUUACUGAACUUCGUAGAUCAACCAGAGUAAGAUCCACACCAGAGUGGUACGGUAAUCCUAUUCUGGAAGUCAUGUUACUAGACCAUGAUGAACCUACGAACUAUGAGGAAGCGAUGAUGAGCCCAGAUUCCGCGAAAUGGCUUGAGGCCAUAAAAUCUGAGAUAUGAUCCAUGUAUGAGAACAAAGUAUUGACUUUGAUUGACUUGCUCGAUGAUCAGCAAACCAUGUUAAUUAAAUGGAUUUUUAAGAGGAAGACGGACGCUGAUAGUAUUGUUACUAUCUACAAAGCUAGAAUUGUCACAAAAGGUUUUCGACAAGUUCAAAGUGUUGACUAUGAUGAGAGUUUCUCACUCGUAUCUAUGCUUAAGUCUGUCCGAAUCAUGUUAGCAAUUGCCACAUUUUAUGAAAUCUGGCAAAAGGAUGUCAAAACUGCAUUCCUCAAUGAAUUUAUUAAAGAAGAGUUGUAUAUGAUGCAACCAGAAGGUUUUGUCAAUCCUAAAGGUGCUAACAAAGUGUGCAAGCUCCAGCGAUCCAUUUAUGGACUGGUGCAAGCCUCUCGGAGUUGGAAUAUACGCUUUGAUGAGUUGAUCAAAGCAUAUGGUUUUAUACAGAUUUUUGGGGAAGCCUGUAUUUACAAGAAAGUGAGUGGGAGCUCUGUAGCUUCUAAUGUUAUAUGUGGAUGACAUAUUGUUGAUUGGAAAUGAUAUAGAAAUUCUGGAUAGCAUGAAAGGAUACUUGAAAAAGAGUUUUUCAAAGCAAGACCUCAGUGAAGCUGCUUACACAUUGAGCAUCAAGAUCUAUAUAGAUAUAUCAAGACGCUUGAUAAGAUUUUUCAAUGAGUACAUACCUUGAUAAAUUUUUGAAAUAGUUCAAAAUGGAACAGUCAAAGAAGGAGUUCUUGCCUGUGAUGCAAAGGUGUGAAGUUGAGUAAGACUCAAGACCCGACCAUGGCAGAAAAUAGAAAGAGAAUGAAAAGUCAUUCCCCAUGCCUCAGUCAUAGGUUCUAUAAAGUAUGCUAUGCUGUGAACCAGACCUAUUGUAUACCUUGCUCUGAGUUUGACAAAAGGAAUACAAUUUUGAUCUAAGAGUAGAUCACUGGACAGUGGUCAAGAAUAUCCUUAGUGAGGACUAAGGAGAUAUUUCUCGAUUAUGGAGGUGAUAAAAGAGCCCAUCGUAAAAAGUUACAACGAUGCAAACUUUUACACCAAUCCAGAUGACUCUAAGUCUCAAACUGGAUACAUAUUGAAAGUGGGAGCAAUUAGCUAGAGUAGCUCCGUGCAGAGCAUUGUGGACAUAGAAUAUUUGCAAAAUACAUACGGCUCUGAAUGUGACAGACCCGUUGACUAAGCUUCUCUCACGAGCAAAACAUGAUCACACCUUAGUACUCUUUGGGUGUUAAUCACAUAGCGAUGUGAACUAGAUUAUUGACUCUAGUAAACCCUUUGGGUGUUGGUCACGUGACGAUGUGAACUAUGGGUGUUAAUCAUAUACAGAUAUGAAUAUUGGUGUUAAAUCACAUGGCGAUGUGAACUAGAUUAUUGACUCUAGUGCAAGUGGGAGACUAAAGGAAAUAUGCCCUAGAGGCAAUAAUAAAGUUAUUAUUUAUUUCCUUAUUUCAUGAUAAAUGUUUAGUAUUCAUGCUAGAAUUGUAUUAACCGGAAACAUAAUACAUGUGUGAAUACAUAGACAAACAUAGUGUCACUAGUAUGCCUCUACUUGACUAGCUCGUGAAUCAAAGAUGGUUAAGUUUCCUAGCCAUGGACAAAAGAGUUGUCAUUUGAUUAACGGGAUCACAUCAUUAGGAGAAUGAUGUGAUUGACAUGACCCAUUCUGUUAGCCUAGCACUUGAUCGUUUAGUAUGUUGCUAUUGCUUUCUUCAUGACUUAUACAAAGUUCCUGCAACUAUGAGAUUGUGCAACUCCCAUUUACCGGAGGAACACUUUGUGUGCUACCAAACGUCACAACGUAACUGGGUGAUUAUAAAGGUGCUGUACAGGUGUCUCCAAAGGUACAUGUUGAGUUGGCAUAAUUCGAGAUUAGGUUUUGUCACUCCGAUUGUCGGAGAGGUAUCUCUGGGCCUUCUCGGUAAUACUCAUCACCUAAGCCUUGCAAGCAUUGUAACUAAUGAGUUAGUUAUGAAAUGAUGUAUUACGGAACGAGUAAAGAGAUUUGCCAGUAACGAGAUUGAACUAGGUACUGGAUACCGACGAUCGAAUCUCGGGCAAGUAACAUACCAAUGACAAAGGGAACAAAGUAUGUUGUUAUGCGGUUUGACCGAUAAAGAUCUUCGUAGAAUAUGUAGGAGCCUAUAUGGGCAUCUAGUUUCCGCUAUUGGUUAUUGACCAAGAAUAGUUCUAGGUCAUGUCUACAUAGUUCUCGAACCCGUAGGGUCCGCACGCUUAAGGUUUCGAUGACAGUUUUAUUAUGAGUUUAUGAGUUUUGAUGUACCGAAGGAGUUCGGAGUUCCGGAUGAGAUCGGGGACAUGACGAGGAGUCUCAAAAUGGUCGAGACAUAAAGAUCGAUAUAUUGGACAACUAUAUUCGGACUUCGGAAAGGUUCCGAGUGAUUCGGGUAUUCUUCGGAGUACCAGAGAGUUACGGGAAUUCGCCGGGAGAAGUAUUGGGCCUUAUUGGGCCAUACGGGAAAGAGAGAGGGGCUGCCUAGGGCAAGCUGCGCGCCCCCCCCAAGGCCUAGUCCGAAUUGGACUAGGGGGAGGGGCCGCACCCCCUCCUUCCUUCCCUUCUCUCUUCCCCUUCCUUGUCUCCUACUCCUACUACUUGCAAGGACUCCUAGUUAGACUAGGAAAGGGGGAAUCCUACUCCCGGUGGGAGUAGGACUCCCCUAGGGCGCGCCAUAGAGAGGGCCGCCCCCCCCCCCUCCUCCACUCCUUUAUAUACGGAGGCAGGGGGCACCCCAUAGACACAAGUUGAUCUGCGGAUCGUUCCUUAGCCGUGUGCGGUGCCCCCCUCCACCAUAUUCCACCUCAGUCAUAUCGUCGCGGAGUUUAGGCGAAGCCCUGCGCCGGUAGAACAUCAUCAUCGUCACCACGCCGUCGUGCUGACGGAACUCAUCCCCGACGCUUUGCUGGAUUGGAGCCCGAGGAACGUCAUCGAGCUGAACGUGUGCUGAACACGGAGGUGCCGUACGUUCGGUGCUUGGAUCGGUCGGAUCGUGAAGACGUACGACUACAUCAACCGCGUUGUCAUAACGCUUCCGCUUACGGUCUACGAGGGUACGUGGACAACACUCUCCCCUCUCGUUGCUAUGCCAUCACCAUGAUCUUGCGUGUGCGUAGGAAUUUUUUUGAAAUUACUACUUUCCCCAACACUCAAGACCUCAACCCAAAGCUUACGUGUUGAAAUAAGAAUCUGAUAUGAUGCUCGUAUCACUAAAAUAGAGAACCUUUAAUUGGUCACCUAAUGCUCGAAUAUUCGUUUCGAAAAGCAUGUGCGCCACCCACUGGUCCAGCUAGUUCCACUUUCCUGAUUUUUCUCUUGAUGCUUAGGGUUUUCCCCUUUUAUCUGCUCUACUAUGAUCUGCGUAGGUGCUUUCUAUCGUACUAGCAUUACUCCACCCUUGAAGCUAAACAACACAACAGUCAGAAUUCGAAAGCUUAGUUGUUCAAAUAUGAUUGUGAUAUGAUACUGAUAUUAGUUAACCGACACAUUUAGUUGGUUAGCUAAAGGUCCCACUUGAGUUUCCAAAUGCAUGUCGCAACAUAUAGAGAUAUAGCAUAAUUGCAUUUCUUUGUCACUUGUUGACCGUACUUUCUUGUCCGUACCAAAUCUUAGUUGUUAUUUCCAAGCAAACAUCAGUUGCUAACUACCCUUUGCGCAGUUUGCAGCUUCAGAUCUGCCAUCCCACUGCCACGGUCAACAUUGUACUCAUCAUGCUUAUGUUUUCCCCGUUUUAUGAUGACCACAAUCAGCCUACGUAGUUCGUGUCGUAAUAGCACUGCUCCACCCAUCGAGCUAAACAAGCUUAGUUCUACAAAUUCAUAUAUGAUAUUAUUGCUGAUAUUAGUAAAACUGAGAGAUGUUGAAUUGGUUAGCUAAAUGUUCCUACUUUAGUUUCGAAAUGCAUGUGAGCCACAUAUGGAGAGACCGGAAAGAAUAGUAUUUCUCUGUGCACUCUGGUUCAUCAUGGGUGGCCAACCGACAUUGUAUUAAAAGACUUGUAAUAUCUUCAAUCUGCUUGCUCUUCUGCUCUUCUUUAAGAUGAUACUCUUCUCUUGCGGUCGACUGGUCAGGUCGAGUUGUUCUCCCUUAGUAUAUUUUGAAUGUGUCAGGUCAGGUCGACUUAUUCUGCUUUACUAUAUGUUGAAGCUAUCAUCUGCGAAGUGUCAUCACUUCUGGAGCUCUCAUAUUUUGAGUAGUAGGCCACAUUAUAUUAAUAUACACAACAAAUUACAACAUGCAAGGCAUCUUCUAAAAGAACUGCAGAGAUAGCACAAAGGGGUUUAUAGGGAGGCAGUAUUGGAUUAGAAUCACUUCUGCAUUACAAAGAAAAUCUCACUUGUUUUUAUGUUUUCAUGCAUGUUAGAUAUUGAACAUUAUCAAAAUGAAUAUGAGAAUGGGCGCACGACAGGAAUAUUGCGGAACGAUCCACUGGCUAACAAACUUGGCAUGGUGGAGGAUGGCCUAUCUUAUUCACCCAUCAAGGUGCUUGCUCUAACUUUGCAAAGUUGUAUUGGUCGGACAUAUUUUGCUUCUGACCUAUUUCAUUACUUCUACUUUGUUACACCAUUUGCUUAGUUUAAGCAUCAUAUAUGAGUAUAUGCCAUACAUAUCCAUUUUUUGUACCUAUUCCAUGUGUCGUGAAACUAUGUUUUUUCAGUAAAAUGUUGUUAGUUUGUAAUAGAUGUCCAAAAGGAAGAGGGUGAGUGCAGAUCCUCAAGGAGUACAAACUAGGUAUUUAGAAAAGGUAGUGAUACCUGUUAAAUCAGAUAGAUCAGCAGCCACAGAAAACACAGGCCCAACUGUACCACACUUUACCCCUACUCCAGUGGCCAAACCCCUAUUAGAACUGCUGGGAGACCAGCGUCAGGUACUGUCUAUGAUAUCAAUUCAAAAUUUCAACUCCUAAAUUUCUGCUUGUGCCUUACCUUUUCUCUUGUAUGAAAACUAAUUUCAGAUGAAUCUCCUUGCUCAAAGGAUCAUACAAUCUCAAAACAAUAAUGGGCUCUGCAUUGCUCUUGUCAAUACCUCUCUCCCUUUUGCCUUGUAACGUUGUACUUCAUUAAUUGCUAUUUGAUUAUGUAUCAUCAGUCUGCACCUGAGCUUCAUUAUCCUCUGUUUCUUCCAAUAUUAUUUGAUCUAUAUUUACUCUUUGCAAAAUUUAGAAUAAUGGCAACGCUUAUAAAGAAUUUUCUUUGGGGAAUUUAUUGAAUUAUCCUUCCAUCAACAUGGAGAAGGGCUUUGUCCAGCCCGUGUUAACAUGUAAUGUAAGUUCAUCCUUCUCAAGCCUUCGAACUUAGUUCUAGUAUAGAUUAGGAUAGGCAUCAUUUCCUCCACUGCUGUUUGCUUUGCUGUUUACAUCUGAUUGGAUGUUUGCAACAACUACGAGUUUCAAAUUGUAGUUGUAAAAACAUGUUCCUUAUGCAAAACAGAUCAAUUUAUUUGCUUAUAUAAUUGUGAAACCUGUUACAUGUCUCCUUGUUUCUCUUUCAGACUCGUAUCUCUUACGCCAGGCAGAACUUUAGGGAAGAUAGUGAGCCAAACCAUCUUGAGGACAGCGAGAUGACCCCAAGGUCCUUUCUUGAUGAAGACAGUGAGUUGAAGCUACUCACCAGCAGGUGUGAGACAACCUCUGUGCAGUCGCUGCCUCAAUCAGUUCGACUUCUCUAGUCUCAACUUAAAGCGGAAAGGCUUGCUUCAGCUCAGGUCCGACUUGAAGUCAAAGAUGCAAUGAAGAUGUCAGAGGACUGCCGUGCGCACCAUCAUGCCUUAAAUCUAGUGUUGAUGCAUCUCUCGUUGACACAACUGAGGUCUACUCAGCUUCUUCAACUGUUUGGGGGGCCCUACCUGGCCAGGCCUAGUGCCUUCUGAAGUGCUCUCAGUUUUGUAUAUUCUUUUGUCGGCGCGUUUAUUUGCACUGGUGGCGAACUUUGAUGCCCAAUGGAUGUAAUAUGUGUGAUAGCCGUGAUAGCCUAGCAUAAGUUGCUUGCUUAUUUAUUUCCUUGUUGUCUUGUUUAUUUGUUUGCUUCUACUCAUUGAAGUUCUUUUUCCGCGGUUUGCUAGUGGCUGCGAUAACCUAUUUUUUAAAACUAGGCCAUAAUAACCAUAGGCUAAUAUUUACUGUAGUGACACUGGGCCUCCUACGGGCCGUAGAAACAGUGGGCCUUCUACGGGCCGUAGAAACAAUGGGCCUUCUACGGGCCGUAGAAACAAUGGGCCUUCUACGGGCCGUAGAAACAACGGGCCUUCUACGGGUCGUAUCAUCAAUGGGCCUUAUACGAGCAGUAUGAUCGAUGGCCAAACAUGGGCCAAUAACAGGCUGCAUUAUGGCCGUAUUCGGGCUAGAGUUGGAAUUGUCCGUUCAUGGGCCGACCAUAACGGGCCAUCGUUAAUAGGCCGUAUUUGAUGAUGCUAUGAAAACGGCCCAACGUAUUAAAGGACCACAAACGGGCCGACUGUAACCACGGGCUGAAUUUGGCCCACAAGCAGAAAAUGACAGUAACAGGCCGUAAGUAAACGAAUGCUUGAAAUGAGCCCAAGAAUAAAUGGGCUCUGAGAAGGCCGAAAGAUAACAUGGCCUGGAAAAGGCCCAACGGAAUAACGGGCCGUUAAUGGGUAUAAAGUGAUACACUGUUCAUUACGGGCCAGUUUCACCACGUGCCGUUAAUGGGUGAAAAGUGAUACACUGUUCAUUACGGGCCAGUUUCACCACGGGUCGUUAAUAGGCCAAGAGUUACAUAGGGCCUCAUAUGGGCCGAAAGACGUCAUGGGCCAUACAUGGGCCAGAAGUGAAAAUGGGCUAGAAUCAUAUUGGGUGGCCCAGAUCACGCUACUGAGCCUAAUUCGGAUAGGACGUAACGGGCCUUGGGUUAGCGGGAUGUAAAUGGGCUAUAUGUGAACAGGCCGUUAACAGGCUUUACAUGGGCAGGCCCGCCAGCUUUUGACCAAGUCAAACGGGCCGGCCUUUUCAUAGGAAUGGGCCUCUAUUGGGUCGUGCCACGUGUCGAUGUAUCAUAGGCGCCUAUCUGACCCACUGACGAGCUGGCACAUGUUUCGUCCGGCCAAUAAGAAUUUUGCACGUGGAAAUUUCCCAUUGGUCGGGGCUGUUAACGGGUUAUCGGAUCCAAAACCCGACCCGAUAGCUUAACGGCGUUCCGUUACGGUGGAUGCCACGUGUCGGUCACCCUUGACGAAAGCACUUCUGUGACGCGCGAUUUAUCGUCAUGGAAGUGGACACUUCCGUGAUGAUAAUUUUGGUAAUGUCAUGGAACACUUCUACGACAGCAAAGGUAUGACUAUCUUGAUUCUGUCAUAAAUUUGUCAUGGAUGUACAUGCAUGACAAAAAACGCGACCUACUGUGACAAACACGUAUCAUCACGGAAGCGUAUUUUUUUGUAGUGCCCAUUUAUCGAUGGCCCGUAGGAGAUCCAUGGAUCCUACGGCCCGUAUAUGGCCCAUGGUAGUUCCGGCCACUAGCAAACCAGGGAAAAAGAAGGCUAGGACAUAAAUAAGCCCGAAACUAAUGCUAGGCUAUUAAGGCGAUUGCACAGAUUACAUCCACUCGGCAUCAAAGAUCGCCACCAGUGCAAAUAUAGGGAACACCCUACACUAUACAAAAAUGGCUUGCUGUUUUCUUCAGCCGGUGGCUGCACGUUAAGAAUAAAUUUUGUAUCGCACCAAAAGGAAGGUUGGCAUAAAACUUAACAGUCUAGGAGACAAAUGCACCAUGAGAAGUUUAGAAGCUCAAUUCAUUUGACCUGACUGUUACGUUCUCAUGCUGUAUUGUCCGAUGGAGCACCAUAACCCUCGCCUUCAUUUCCCCUAGGCUCCUGGACAACAUAGCAAAUGUCUGAUAGUUUGGUUUCAAAACCAUGCAUAUCUUGACGACAUUGAGCAAUGUUUCUCUCCUUGUUUCACAAAGGGUCUUUGUUAGGGAAUGGACUUGUGUCUGGAGCACAGAUACAACAUUGCUUUGAGCUUGCAUAUCUUGAUCAUGAGGCAGUUUGGAUGAUAUUGCCUUAACAACCAACCCAGUAUUACGCAGGAACGUGCUUUUGGCACUGUUAGUGGACAGGUACUGACCCACUGCAGCAAGAGCUGACAUUGCGGUUAUAUUGGCCUCGCCACCUUCAGAAGGUGGCAGUUCCACCAUUUUUUCCAUAGCUCGUUGAAAAGUUGAGGUUUUACAUUAGUAGUACCAGAACAAAAGAUAUUAAGGAGGCAGCAAAACCAAACAAAAUAGCUUUGGUCUAUAUACAUAACUUAUUCUGGUGAACCCAUGUAAAAUAUUAGUUGUAUUUUAUUGCAAAGUACAUAAUAAAACCAGGUUCCAAACAUAUGACCAUGUACCAUCGCUAAUGUAUUGUCUAUUUCUUCACAUAGUAUUGAGGGGUAAGGAUAAAGAGACGAAGUUUAUAAUACGAAGCAUAGUAUGACAUCAUUCAUAUCACAAAACAACUGAGAACAGACAAACAUGCAAUUGUAACAUUGUGUGGGCAAGUCCAGCACGGAACUAGAUUACGGGUCAAGAUCAAAGGAACAUCACUCCUCUCUUUUAAACCUUGUAAGGUGCAAUGAUACGCUAAGACAAUUGUGUAUAAAAUUGAAAAGAGUAAUAGACAUUGGCUGCAAACCAUGCAGUCCAAGGCACAAGUCAGAGUAAGUAGUAGUUAAAAGGCAUGAGGAUUAAGGACUUACAACAGCGGCUUUGACUAGUGUAGUCAUGCCCUUCUUCUUGCUGGUGUGACAGUCCUUGAAGAUUUCCACAGCAUGUGGUUCAUGUACUUUUUGGUCCUUGCGGGCUUUCCUCUGCAUUUGGAACAAGUCAAUAUAGAUCUGAUAAUAUGGUACAACGAAAAGAGUGAAACAGCAGCUAAUUACAAGAGCCUCGCAGUGUGCAAUAUAGCUACAAGAUCCUGUCGUCUGUUGGAAUUUCACUUUCGUACGGUUGGCCUUGUUCUUUGAACAGUUCACCUACAAGAAGAUAGAUUUGUGUGGCACAUGCAUAAAUAGGACUUCAACAUGUGAUCUGAUGACAUAUAUAUAAUGUACCUGAUACUUCGGAUCAGACCAGUGUUCAACGAGGCCUAUCCAGUCUUCAUCAGAUAUAUUCUCCACUGGAGAUGUUUGGGCAAGUUCACUAUUAGCCUUGCCUUCAAAGUGAGUUUUCCUCAAGUUAUACCGAUACUAUCGCAGAGCAUACUUGAAAACAUGGGUGCAAGCUUGUCUAGUUGCAUCAUCUUGGCUAUCCAACUUGAACCUCAUCUGUUGAAAAUUAUGGGAGUCUCAUUAUCAGCGACCUAGAAAGUAUUGGACAGAGCAAGACGAUAUUACUAGUUUCCAUACAUAACCAUACUUACAGAAAAAUGGUCGAGGAAGUUGUUGAACUGGGUUUCGUCUUUGUCAUUCCUGUACUGAAUCCAUGUUGGGAGGAUACGUACAUGACACCUAACAGCAACCGCUGCCUCUGAUACUAACUUGGCUGACUCUGUAGCAUCACGUGGCCUUUUUAAACCUGCCUCAAAACGGAUCUCCAUUCUUCCUCCUCUAGAUUUAGUUAACCUAUCAAGCAUUAUCCCUCUUGCGCCUAGGUUCUAGUCCAACAACAAACAUAGGAAGUGUUAGUGUACAUCAAAUUGUGAGACUACAUAUAAAGAAGCAUGCAACUGUAACUUGACUCCAGCAACUACCUUCUUGCUGUUGAAGCUCACAAGGUUCAUCUGAUAUUGCGAACUUGUCUUGUGUCAAGAGUGCUUGGAAUUAGUGUCAGGAGGCAAGGGAGCUUGGGAAGAUGCUGCUAGCUCAGUUGAUGCAUGAGUAAUUUGUGCAGCUGGUAGUACUGUGGUAGGUGUUGCAAGAACUAGGGCUGUCUCAGCUUGUUCGGUGGCAGCUACUUGUUUCUGUUUGGCUUUUUUUGCAACUUGUGUAGCAUGGGAUGCCGUGUUUGUCGAAUUUCCCACUAGACUUUGACCUUCUAUUGCACCAUCAGUACCAGCAGAAUCUACACGAUUCAUCCGCUUCUCAUUCCCUGGCAUUAUGUGUUUCUUCCUCUUUCUCUGUGCCAUGUUAAGUCAAGCCGACAAGAAAAACGAAUAACAAUUUAGUUCUUCAGAACAAAUUGAUGCGUGAUGCAGAUGAACUAAACUUUGAUGUUAGAAAACCACAUGAUAGGAGGAUGUAAUAUGUAUGAAAAACAGGAUGGAAGAGAUAACCAGAACUAUCAUGUGUAAACUAAGAAGAAGACAUUUCAUCAAAUUAGAAGCAAUGCAAUGGAAGGUAGACACCAUCUGAAAGAUGCUACAAAUAUCACUCUGCCAAGUUAAGAGUGUCUCAUCAUAAAUGGCGUUUAAACAAAUGUGAAGCAGUACAAGAAAUAAAUCAUAUGCAAGAUGCAAACAACAUCACACUACCAUGUUAGAGGUCUCUCGUCAUUAGUGCCAUUGCAUAUUCACAGCAUUCCAUAUUCACAGCUUAUGAUGUGUAAACUAAGGAGAAGGCAUUUCAACAAAUUAGAAGCAAUGAAAGCUAGACACCAUAUGAAAGAUGCAACGAAUAUCACUCUACCAAGUUAAAUCUGUCUCGUCAUAAGUGCCAUUUCAACAAAUUAGUAGUACAAGCUAGAAAAGAAUGUGAGAUGUAACCUAUACCACACUCCGAAGUCAAACGUGUCUGAUGAUAAGUGAUUGUUGCAGGUUACACAACAGUAGUAAUUUGAUGUAAGAACAUGGUGUGAUAGAUAGAUAUUGUAUGUUCUAGAAACAGGAACACGUGUCUUAUUCAAGUAUAAUGUGUAAAGUAAGAGAUGGAAUUCAACAAAAUUAGAAGCAAUACAAGCUAGACAUCACACAUAACAUGCAACCACAUAUAACAGUGCCAAGUUGGAGGGAGCACCGGUGAUGCUGCACUAGGGGAGACGUGCUCAUCAUAAACACAACUUUGUUGAGUGUCUAUGCAUGUGUUGUCUUGGAAAUCAUCUUGGGGGUGUGGAGGAGCAGAAACUGUAGAGGCCCUCCGUUCGUAAGGAGCACCUUUAUCCACUGCUUUGCUAACUUCCUUCCACUUUAUUGAUUUUGAAUUGUCAAGUAAAACCGACAAGAAAAAGCAAUAAAAUUCUCUCUUCAGAACUCAUUCAUGCAUGAUACUGACAAUCACUACUUUGAUGUAAGGAAAACACAUGAUACUAGGAUGGAAUAUGUACGAAAACAGGACGUCAUGGCAUGUUCACAGCUGUUUGUGUAAACUAAGCAAAAACAAUUCCAGCAAAUAAGAAGCAAUGCAAGCUAGACACCACAUGAAAGAUGCAACCAAUAUGACUCUGCCAAGUUAAAAGCGUCCCAUUAUAAAUGGAAUUUCAACAAAUUAGAAGCAGCGCAUGCUAUAAAUCAUAUGAAAGAUGCAACUAAUAUCACACUGCAUAUACUAAAGGUGUCUCAUCAUGUUGAUUGAUGCGAGAUACAAAAAAACAAUAGUUUUAUGUAAGUACAUGCUUAAUAGACAGAUGUACUAUGUACUAAAUACAAGAAGGCAUGUCACAUUAACAGGUAUAAUGUAUAAGCUAAGCAUACUAGCACAUGCAGUUUAACCAGAUUAGAAGAAUUACAAUCUAGACACCAUAUGCAACAUGCAACCACAUAUCACACUGCCAAGUUAGAGCAAGCAUCUUCGAUGCUAGUGUAGGGGAAAUGCGGUAAUCAACUACAGAGCUAUGUUCACUAUCUUCAUCUAGAAUUUCUGUUUCUUGAGAAUCAUGUCGGGAGGCUGACGCUGCAUUCUUUAAAUGAGGAGUAGUCCCCUUGCCUGCCUGCCUCGUCAUAAGUGAUUGAUGAGGGAUACACAAGAACAUUAGUUUGACGUAAGAACAUGGUUAAUACACAGAUGUACUAGUAUGUACCAAAAACAGAAAGGCAUGUCAUAUUCAAAGGUAUAAUGUGUAAGCUAAGCAGAUGCAAUUUAACCAAAUUGGAAGCAAUACAAGCUAGACAUCCGGCUGGAGUGGUGAGCAUGAUCAUGUAGGACCUGAGAGCCUGGUGGGAGGCGGGCUGCUUCGCCACCAUUGCAGCUUUUUAGUUGGCUUCCAGGUGAUGCCUAUAUUUGCUGGGCUUGUCACUGGCUCGGCCAGUGCCCUGACUAGCUAUUUGUCUUCUGGUGCUCAUGGGAUGGUGGUUCAUGUAAAAAAUAUCUUUCCUUAUCUUACCGACUUCGGCCUUUUGAAUACAAGCUAGACACCAUAUGGAACAUGCAACCACAUAUGACACCGCGAAGUUAAAGCAAGCACCUGGGAUGGUGGUUCAUUGCGAGCGAGGUCAUCAACUCCAGAGCUACGUUUACCGUCUCCAUCUGCUGACACUCCAUCCUUUAUAGCGUUGUAACGUGUCUUGCCUAGCCGCACACCAAGCUGGAGCGACUUCUCUCUUUUCUUUUUGGCUUCUAUCAUGGCAGCAGAGUCUGAAAUACCCUUGCAUAAAAACACAAUACUGAGAGUAAGGGUGAAGUGUGUGCAGAACUACUGCACUGUAAAAGUAGCAGAUAGAAGGUGGCUGAAAAAUAAAUGACAGGAGACAUAUGAUAGCUCUACAACAUUGCAUGGCAAAUAACAUUAGAUUCUACUCUGUAUGAUUUUGUAAUAUAUGAGCACAGGAAAUGUAGGUACUCCUCCAGCACACCACCACAUGUGGUCAUAUCUAAGAUAACAGUCGACUGGAAAUAAAUAUGUCAGUCGAUUUUUUUAAUGAACCGUCCGAUCUAUAAGGAACGGGCAGAUGGCCUUCGUCUACCUCCCACCGGUCACUGUUGACGAUCUUUAUCGAACUGCCAGCGACCACCGGCCCAGACCCCUGCCUCCGCCGCUCCGCCCUCCCAUCAACCUCACACCACCGCUGUGCUUGGCAGCGCCCCAGGCCAUCCCUUUAAUCCCGGCCGACCUCCAGAUCGGGCGCCAGUAGCUCUAGGCCGCACACGCCCCUAAGAUAAACACCAAGGCGCUGCUUCCCCGACGUAAUAGACGUACUAGCGCCUGUUACGCUGGGGAAUGCUUCCGAUAAUUGGGAAUCAACUGGCCAGAAAUUGAAAUUCAGGGGGGUGACGGACCUCUAGCUAAGGUGAAAUAGUAUAUGAGGAGAAACCUUGUGCAUCGUGAGUUACUAGGAAUAUCUAGUAUCAAGAAGAAGCGGUCAACUAGUGUCUUCUGUGGGAUGAAUACCGUGCAAGUAGAGACGUAAGAUUUGCAUGAAUAAGGGAAGAGGAGUACCUUUUUCGGUUGCCGGUGUGGUCACCUCCACAUGUCGCGCCAAUUUUCUUCUUUUUACCGGGGAAACCGAUGUUCUCUCCACAUGUCGCGCCGAUUUUCUUCUUUUUACCGGGGAAACUGAUGUUUUGGAGGGUGCAGGCUUGGACGAACCCAUGGCCAAAUUGUUGACUGUGUUGCCGUGGCCGUAUGUCGGUGGAGGGGAAGCAGAUCCGAGGCUGCGAAGGACGGCGUAGCAGGAACAGCUCCGGUGCGGUGGAGGGUGGCGAAGUUGGAGCGGCAGCGGUGAGGCAUAGGAUGGCGUGGUUGAACUGGCUUGGGUACGGACGGCUCGGCCUCGGCUUCUACUACUAGCCGUGGAGGGUGUUGCAGUUGAGGUUGCGGUGGACAACGACGUCGGGGUAUCGGCUCUAGCGUGAUGGAGGAGGGCGGCGGUUGAUGUGUGGGAUGGGGUGGCGGACGGAGGACGCCGGGGUUUCGCGACUGGUGAAGAGGUAGUUUUGGCGCCCACGGAGUACGAAUGGGGAAUCGGACGGGUGGGGGGAACCAUGUUUUGGUCUGGGACGCGCUUGUUUUUGGCUUUUUUGAACAGAAGAUGGGACGCGCUUGUUUGAAAUUUGGGGAAACUACAAACUUUUCCCCACUCUUAAAUUUCGGACCUACUGCGGGUCGGCGGUAGGAUGGUAAUCCCAGGUGUCCCAAAUAGUGGGCGGGAGCGAUUUCGGCCAAACGCAUGUGUGCUUAGGCGGCCAUUGUGUAUGAAUGUUUUUCGGAUGCGGUUGCGUGGCGUCUAGAUGAAGCUACAAACCUACCCCGGUUUAGACCUUUGGACGUCGGGCCGAUAGGUUUCACGGGUCGGAGUUAUUAGAAAAGUAAUUUCCUUGUACUACCAAACAUUGGUCUCACGCGGUUUCGGGCGAGUAGAGGCUCUUUUGGCGCUUCGUUCGAAAUUUUGAAACACAAGCAUUCACGUUUAGAGUACUCUUGAACUAUGAUGAUUGACCUAAAUAGACAACGUUAUAUUUGACCUUGUAUGUUUGAAAACCUCAUUAAAUUAUCUGCUUCUUUUUGAAAUUUUGACACUUGAAAAUCCUAUAACUACGAUCAUUUUGGAAUGGAGGAGCUAAAUUUGAAUCUAUUUUGUACACGACUACAUAUGCUAUUAUGUACAAAAUCAGAGCAAAGAUUGGUGCCCCCAUAAUUUUAGGUAUGGUUUACAAAUGCCGUGAUAUCAAAUUCAAAUAAUUGAAUGGACUUCAUGUUGAAUUCGAUUUUUUUAAACCACCUUAAGUUGAAUUCAAAUGUAUGCUAGUUCAUAGGUAGUAGCUAUUUAUAAUGUCCAUUGUGUAACUUUCGUAUGUAUAAUGUGCUUUACACACACAACAUGAACUAUACUCACGUUUAUAUUCGAUUGCUAAAGCGAUGCAUUGUCUGGAGUUCAAAAUACUAACUAUGUGGAUCAAUUGUGUCGAAUAAUAACAUAGACAUGCUCAAAUUCGAUAGAAUCUAGAUGUCUGAUGGAUCAAUGACCGCUCCUUACGCGAAUUGCAAAUAUCAUGAUCCCAUCCUAAUAUUUGGAUACAAUUUAUAUCUUUAAUCAAUGUCUAGAGUAGUCUUUUACGUGUAGUUUCACUCUCCAUCGGUGGUCUCUCACACAUGCUCACACACUCUCUCCCGAGGUGUCUUUCUCGCACACAUGCUCUAGAUAUAACCCUCCCUCCCUCUCGUAACCAUUUACAACUGUUUUCACUAACCUUUAUCACAAGCACUCUUCCUCUCGCAAACAUACACACGCACAAUCCUCAUUGACCCUUUCUAUAUACAUGCACCUGCCUACGUGUCUCAUGUACGCACAUUAUCUUUACGCCUGUCUCUCACGCAUUGUCUCACACCUCUCUUCCUAAUCGACGAGUAUGAUUCUAGCACAGCAUUUUGUAGGAUGCCCCUUAAAGUUAGGUUGGAUGAAUAGUAAUAUCAGAAUUAAAGGGGUUACCUUAGUCCAAGAACCUAGGGUUACAAAUCCUAGCCGGCUUUGUCAGUGGACACAGAGUCCUUCACAAUUCUGCUAUCUUUGUCUUGUACGACUAGUCAUCCAUGGGUCUUCCUAAAUGCGUCACGGCCGACCAAUGUGGCGCAGGACGGAACCGAACGAAGGGCCUCACCUCAACCCACCGGACCUCACGCGGUGACACACCCUCUGCCCCCACGUCUCAUUAUCUUCUCACACCCACACAUACCAACACAAACAGCACACACAUAGAAAAUUUCUCCUGGUGCCUCUAUUCUCUCCCCCCUUGCAUAUAAACACUCAAGGGAAUGGAAUCUCUUUUCGCGACGUCAUAUUCGUCUAUCUCUCCCUCUAGACCACUCUCGUGCUAUCUCUCCCACGCCCCCCCCCUGUCGGCCCCUCUAUCCAUGCCUCUCUCGAAUACGUAAUACACACACAUACCUCUCUAGGCCCCGCCAAAUGCAUCAACUACACAUUCACACAUGUUACAUCACGUCCCCCAUUGAUCUAAAAAUCCCUCUCUUCACAUUUAUUUCGUAUACAACAUUCCUUUUGAAUAAAGUGUGGCCAAACAAUUAUUUUAGAGUUUCUACAUAUAUACAACAUUACAAAGUUAUAUGGAGGAGUACGAGCACUAAUUUGCAUUGCAUGGUGCCCACAAUGAUAUUUAUUCCGCACUGUGAAUUUGUAUAUUUUUAUACUAUAUACAAAGUUAUUCAUAAUAAAGAGAAACGAAGAGCAUCUCUCUCCCCAUCGCAUACCCCCCUGUACGCCCCUUUCACGCAUGCCCACAAAACUAUCUCCAUGUCCUCUAAAAGUAAGCCCCAUAAAAUUCACGCAUGUUUCAUCUUUCUCUCGCGAUAUAUGCAAUGACGAUCAUUGUAUUUGAAGCGAAAGCAUGAUACAUACAUUGGACUUAAGAAUCCAUUCAUUACGGUCACCAUUUACGUUUAGUGGUUAUUAUACAGUCACGGGCUCACCGUACAACUCUGUAUUUGCUCAUGACAUGACUAGUUGACCAGUUAAACACUCCACGUGGCACCUCUAGUGUUGCAUCACAUUAUCUCACUACCAUCGUGCCCACCCGUCGACUUGUAUCUACUCUACAUCUACACUCUUAUAAAAUACACUCCUAUAAAAAACAAAGUUGGUGAUGAUGGUGUGCCUGCCAUCCUGCAAUAUAGGCCGUCCGAUUUAUAUCUGACGGAUAGGAAAGAAACUAUGGCAAUUUUGCAAAAAGGUACCCACACACCUCUCCACAUUUGCAAAUAAGGCCUUCCCUCGUUCAUCCUUUUCUCUCACAAGAUAAACAAGUCAUACAAAUGCAUGUUGAUGUUACGUGCAACGCACGGGCAUCUUGCUAGUAAGAAUGAAAACAAACGACAAAAAUAUAUUUGGACGGUGGUUCAAAGUCAUGACCGCGGGUACAACGGACAAGGUGGCCUUGUAUUGGUAUGUUGAGCCGUCUGUUUUAACACACAUGAGCUGGUGUGGUGAUUAUACACACACGCACGCAUGCACACGAACUGCAUCCACGCAACACUCACACAAACACGUGCACCCACGCACGCACGCAACACUCACACAUACACACGCAGCCACGCACGCACGCAACACUCACACGCACGCACACAACACUCACACGCACACACGCACGCAUGCAUGCACACACCAGUACACCACACGACCAACACACACUCUCACGCUCAAGUGCUCAACCUACACGUGCAUGCGCACACAUCAGGCCCCGACAGAUACAUACACAACCAGGUGACUCCCGCGCACGGGUUGGAGCCUUGUCGCGCCUGGGUAAAUUUGGUGUUAUCUGACCUUUUGCCUAUGCGAACUGACAGGUGGGACCCACAAGGAACGUGGUCAAUUUAACAAGUCAACAUGGCACCACGCAGACUAUUUGGCCGGUCAACAGAGUGCAAUCCGAUGCUGAACUGUGAGCAAGUGACCGUAUAAUCAUCGCAAAACAUAUAUAGUGACCGUAAUCAGCUUAUUCUGAAGUUCGGUGACCGUAUUACGCUUUUCUCUCUGUAGGCCCUCCAAAACUACAUCUCUACACGUUCUCGCAUGUUACAUCUAACAACUAUGCAAUACAGCACUACUACUACACUCUAACACAAUAAAUCAUAUGUGUUUUUAGUUUUACUAGAUAUCAUAUUGUUACUUAUAAUUAUUCAGUUUGCAUACAUUAAAAUUGCCUUUGAAAUGUAUGGCCAGUAUCAUCUACCGCGCGGGAAGAAUCCCGCCCUUUCCUGUUUAAUCGGGUUUGUAUCGAUGGAUCGUGCGAAACAGCAAAACUAUAGUACAAUACAGUAGAAGUGACAGUUCACUAGGCCGUCGUGUCGUCUACUCCUCCGUCGUAAGAGUGGAGAGCUCGCUUUCAUAAAUCUUCUAGUCCCUUUCGCCGACAUGUGGGACAUCAAGCUACCAGGUCCACAUGCCACACCAGAAUACAGCGCAGAGCAGCCGGGGUGAAGCACUCCAGUCAUGGUGCCGGCGUAGUAAUUAGCAAUGAGGCGUCAAAUCACAAAGCUGCACCUUUCCCAUAGUUAAGUUGGAGGGACGAAGCAACCAUCAUUUCACUCGUUGCUGAAUCCGCUUCUCCCUCAUCUUCUUCAACUUAACCACGUGUUGCUUCUCCCGUUGUUCUGCCUCAUGUGGGACGCGGAUCGGCUUGGUAAAGCACUGACACGUGGGACCGCAUGUUAGCAAACCGCCAGGACAAUGUCCUCCGAAAAUAAGAAUCCUAAUCCUAGACUUACAAAGGGCUACGUAGCCGCUACGUAUACUUUCCAUCUAAUCUAUAUAUGCCCCUGAUUUUCAGGUGGGGUGGGCCUAAUCCUAUCCUUUAAUCCAAUCAAAUAGUCCCAUAUCACAUCAGUUUGUAACUUUACGUAAACCAUUACGUGGAUGUACCAUUGCUCAAAUAAGAAACCUCCCCCGCCAUCCGCGCGGCAAAAUCACCUCCUUUCUAGUAAUCUCGAUUCUAUAAUUUUUUAGAUCAAUAUAAUUGAGAUUUGUAUAGAUAGCAGACAGGAGCAAAACCAAGUGGUACGGUUAAGUGCAUCCACAAUGUGUAGCCAAAUGUGAAAAUAGCUUUUGGCAUCGUGGGAACCAUUGACGGUGUUGCCAAAGCCAAAAGAUGGAACCGUAGCUCCCUGAUUGAUUGAUUGAAGGAAUAGAAAAAUGUAACGUCUCUCCUCUUUCUCCCAUGCUUGGAUGCGUGUAGUACAGUACAGAGCACAGAGUCUACUCCCCUGUCCCUUCUAUCACAAAUCAGAAAGCAGUGAGGCGUCAAAUCACAAAAGCACGGACGAAGCAACCAUCAUUUCACUCUUCGCUGACUCCGCUUCUCGAUCGUCUUCUUCGAGAAGCCAUCUCACCGCACUAGUACUCCUAGUAGUACUAGUAAAGGACUUCCUGGAUGCAAAUAAGGCGGUUGUCUCGGCUUGUAGGCGGCACUUGCGAACGACUUACCGUGGUCUCCCUCCAUGGUGUUCUCCGUCGAAAGCACUUCGCCAAACCACCAAAAAAAGAUAUCGUCGACGUCACCGCAAUGGGGAAGGAAGUCAAAUAUAGUUACUUCCUCCAUUUUUUGUACACAAUGCCAGUAUAUCAAAAUUACAAUUUGCAAAGGGCCACUAACACUAAUCGAGGCAAAAUUGUUGGGGUUAGCAACCAAGGACAUUAAUAUCCCCUGCAUGCAUGCGGAAGUGAGAAAGUUGGUUUGCAUGGCGCUGCAUUAAUCAAGCUAUGAGGAGUGAGAUUGUUAGCUCUCUGGUCUUUGGAGAAAAAAUACGCAUUAAUUGACACGUGAAAUGAGGAUUUGUAUCGAUUAAAUCCCGCGAAGGAAAGCCCCGCCUUUCUUUUUUAACACUAGUACUCCUAGUACGUACGUCCUUAUCCUGUUUGGGUCUAGGCCUUGCAUUGCCAAACUUCGCCACACAUUUUUGCCAAGCUUGCCUAAAGUUUUCACAAUGUGAAGGAGGUACACUUGCGCACGGCUGUCGUGGUCGCACCGCACCCUCACACGGUCGCUCCUACAUGCCGUGGUCGCACCGCACCCUCACACAGUCGCUCCUGCAUGCCGCAAACCCAACCAAGGGAACACACCUUCACUGACGUGUGCUGUCGCAUGUGAACAAACCAAACUCAUCCAUCCUAUCGCUGACACAUAAUUUUCAUUCAUAGAGUAUGUUUAUCCAACCGCAUGUUGGGGAGUAUCCAUACGGCCCGUGCGGUGGUUUGUUGGGGAAGAAGAAGAGGUGAGGAAGAAGGAAAGAAGGGUUAGGAGACAUAGGAUAUUCAUCCAACCGCCUGAAAUGGUAGACUGACCCAAGUCAGGCGACUUGUAUAACAAAUAUAUGUUUUUACACAGCAAAAGAUCCAUGAAAACAACAACAUAAAGAAAAACUAUCACUGCUCGCGGAAACAGACGACCUCGUCGUCUUUGGCUGCCGGCGCGAACCAGCCGUCGCUGCCGACGUGUGUGUCCGCACCGUGGUUGUCCUCAUCCUCCAGCUACUCGUUCAAGUGGAGCGUGCGGGCACUCUGCACGGAUGAGAGCACAGCCCGGUUCAAGUCGAGGAUGUCCGGUUCUGCCUACAGGAGGGCCUCGAUGGCAGCGGCAUCCGCGCGCUCCGCGUCAAGUCGAGCCUCCGCCGCCCGGUUCAAAUCCAGGAUGUCCGGUUCCUCCUGCAGGAGGGCGUCGAUGAGAGCGGCAUCCGCGCGCUCUGCGUCGAGUCGAGCCUCUGCCGCCCGGUUCAAGUCCAGAACGUCUGGUUCCGCCUGCAGGAGGGCCUCGAUGGCAGCGGCAUCCGCGCGCUCCACCUCAAGUUGAGCCUCCGCUGCCCGGUUCACAUCCACGACAUCCGGUUCCGCCUGCAGGAGAGCCUCGAUGGCAGAGGCAUGCGUGCGCACCGCGUCGAGUUGAGCCUCUGCCUCCCGGUCCUCCUUUAGUAUCACCAUGUUGAACCGCUGGUCCGCCUGCACCAUGGCGGACUCGAACGCAAACACGAAGUCGACGUCCAUCGUCUCAUACCCAUCGGGGGCCUUCUGCGCCGCGACCUCCGCCAUGAACAUUGUAUCGGCUUCCUCCUCCUCGUAGCUUGGCUCCAGCGAACUCGGGGAUUGGCCCGCCGCAAAGCGAGCUUGGGAACAUAGGUCUGUGGCGCCGACCGCUGCCGUGAUUUUUGCGCGGCGCUCCGGCGUCAGCAUCUUGUAGUAAGUGAUCUUGUGGCGCACCAUGGCUUUUCGGUGAACUAGGGGACGCUUGAUGCGGGCUAGGGGAUCGAAAGGAGGGAGAAUGGGCUGGAGAUUUGGUGUGGUUUUAGGGCAGUGGCUGGCGUAGGCCGAGCAGCGAAGGUUCUGGUGUGAAAUCGGUUUUGACUGUACAUCGCUCUUGUCGCGUUCGCGUUGCAGCCCGGCACGCUGGACCCUCCACGUCGCACACCGAAUGGAACGCGCUUCGUCUUGCGUUUUCGGUCGCUUGUGGGACCGCAGUUGAGAGAAAACCGACGUCCCUCCCCCUCCCCCGCCCGCAUCAUUUAUUAUACCACCACUCCCUCCGUUUUAUGCGGAGUAAAUAAAAACAGAUGGAGUAUACUACGGAUGAGGAUCCCCUGACAUGGCCGAACCCAUUGAGUAACUGACAUGCGGGGCCUAGCAAGCAUGGGGUCCGCCAGUAAGUGACCGAAAGGGAGGGUAAGGCAGGGAUACCUACGUCAGUGGACCCACUUCCACUAAACUACUUUGACCAAAUGUUAGAGUAAUAAUAUAUGACAUGCAACUUACACAAAUGUUAGAGUAAUGAUAUAUGACAUGCAACUUACACAAAGCAUACAAGGUCUAAUGUGUUUUUCGAGGCUAACUUCACUACAAAAAAAUACACUUCCGUGAUGAUACGUGUUUGUCACAGUAGGUCACGUUUUUUGUCAUGCAUGUACAUCCAUCACAAAUUUAUGACAGAAUCAAGAGUCAUACCUUUGUUGUCGUAGAAGUGUUCCAUGACAUUACCAAAAUUAUCAUCACGGAAGUGUCACUUCCAUGACGAUAAAUCGCGCUUCACAAAAGUGCUUUCGUCAAGGGUGACCGACACGUGGCAUCCACCGUAACGGAACGCCGUUAAGCUAUCGGGUCAGGUUUUGGAUCCAUAACCCGUUAAGAGCCCCGUCCAAUGGGAUAUUUCCGCGUGUAAAAUUCUUAUUGGCCGGACGAAACACGUGUCAGCUUGUCAGUGGGUCAGAUAGGCGCGUAUGACACAUCGACACGUGGCACGGCCCAACAGAGGCCCAUUCCUGUGAAAAGGCCGGCCCGUUUGACUUGAUCAAAAUCUGGCGGGCCGGCCCAUGGAAAGCCUGUUAACGGCAUGUUCGCAUAUAGCCCAUUUACACCCCGCUAACCCAAGGCCCAUUACGCCUUAUCCGAAUUAGGCCCAGGAGCGUCAUCUGGGCCAUUCAAUAUGAUCCCAGCCCAUUUUCACUUCUGGCCCAUGUAUGGCCCAUGACGUCUUUCAGCCCAUAUGAGGCCCUAUGUAACUCUUGGCCUAUUAACGGCCCGUGGUGAAACUGGCCCGUAAUGAACAGUGUAUCACUUUACACCCAUUAACGGCCCGUGGUGAAACUGGCCCGUAAGGAACAGUGUAUCACUUUAUACCCAUUAACGGCCUGUUAUUCCGUUGGGCCGUUUCUAGCCCAUGUUAUCCUUCGGCCUUCUCAGAGCCUAUUUAUUCUUGGGCUCAUUUCCAGCAUUCGUUUACUUACGGCCCGUUACUAUCAUUUUCUGCUUGUGGGCCAAAUUCAUCGCGUGGUUACAGUCGGCCCGUUUGUGGUCCGUUAAUACGUUGGGCCGUUUUCAUAGCAUCAUCAAAUACGGCCUAUUAACGGUGGCCCGUUACGGUCGGCCCAUGAACGGACGAUUCCAACUCUAGCCCGUUUACGGCCAUAAUGCGGCCUGUUAUUGGCCCAUGUUUGACCAAUCGAUCAUACGGCCCGUAUAAUGCGCAUUGAUGAUACGGCUCGUAGAAGGCCCAUUGUUUCUACAGCCCGUAGAAGGCCUACUGUUUCUACGGCCCGUAGAAGGCCCACUGUUUCUACGGCCCGUAGGAGGCCCAGUGUCACUACAGUAAAUAUUAUCCCAUGGUUAUUGUGGCCUAGUUUUAAAAAAUAGGUUAUUGCAGCCACUAGUUAACCGCAGAAAAAUAACUGCAAUGACUAGAAGCAAACAAAUAAACAAGACAACAAGGAAAUAAAUAAGCAAGCAACUAACGCUAGGCUAUCACGGCUAUUACACAUAUUACAUCCACUGGGCAUCAAAGUUCGCCACCAGUGCAAAUAUAGGGAACAAACCAGCAUAUCAUAUACACUGGCCGUCAAAAUUGGCCACCAGUGCAAAUUAACGUGGCAGCAAAACAAGAGCAUAACUGAAACAACAUCAGAAGAGCUCAAGAAAUGUUAUCCUGGGUAUCCACCAUGCAGGCAAUAAGCUUAGCAAACUGAUUAGCUUUGUCCUAUUUGGCGCUAAAAUCCUCCAACGCUUGUUGUUGCACCAGAAAGUAUGCAUCUGAAUGCUCCAGGAACUUCCGCAGUCCUUCCGCUUCUUGUCGCAGCACAGCUGAUCGAUGUCUUUCAGCUUGUAGUUGAGACUCAACAAACCGAACUGAUUCAGACAAUGAGUUUGAAUAGCUUGUGCAAGCGGUAGUGGCCAGUAACUCCAACACUAAACCAAGACAGGAUGUGUCACUAUCCUGAACCUUAUCUGCAUUACUUCCUUUACCGUUGCUUAAUAAGGCACUCUUCCCCAAUAUUCUGUCAACAUUCUAAAAGAAGAAACAAGCAGACACAUAACAAGUUUAGCAUGUACUAGUAUAUGAAACUCAUUUCGGUGAACCAGUUCAUUAGUAAGGUCGAUAGGAUUAAACUACCAAGUCUACUAUUGCCAAGUACUAGUACAUAAUAAAAGCAUAAAACAAACAUAUAUCUAUGUCAUAUGGUAGCAAUGGAAUCUUAAAUUAGAAUAGUUGUUCUUCAGGUUUAGGCACUUGUUCUACAUGAACAAAGUACAGUAAGACGCAAGAAUAUAAUACUUAAAAAAUAGAAAAUGAGCUCAUAGACCUUACCACAUUCUUGGUUCGGGACCAGUACAGAAUAAGGCGUUCCUAGUCAUCGUCCAGUAAAUGUGUCUCAGGAGAACAUAAGGGAAUUUGAUGAGUUUCUUUGCCGGUGAAGUACGUUUUCUUCAGGUAAUUCCGAUACUGCCACCAAGCAUUCUUGAAGAUAGCAGAGGUAUUAGCACAGGUUACCUCAUCCCGAGUUUCCAAAUCGGUCCUUCUCUAUAGAGAAAAAUGGGAAAAUUUGCUGUAUUAUAACCAUCAUGGAGGUGGGAUGUAUGGGACAAAGCAAAGUAAUUGCCAUGAAUAACAUUACUUACACGUAACUCCUGGAAAAACACCUACAACUGGCAUUUUCCUUCAUCUUCAGUAUAAUAUUUCCAAGAUGGGAAGAUACGCACAUACGAUUUAACAACAUCAAAUGCGAUAGAUGCUAAACUACGACUAGCUGGUUGUGCUUCCUCCAGAGGAAUAGGCGUACUAACUGGUGGAGUUGGGGUUCGCCGUGAUAGUACUGGCCCUUUGGGCACUGGAGCUGCCUUACUAACUGCUCUUGUUUGGGAGCUCUGUGGUGGAGAUGGUGAUGUGUCAACAGGAACUGGGUUACUAUCGGCUGGGGUUGUGGUUAGAUUGGGUGAAGCUGGUUCUCUGUCCAUCGUAGUAGGGGUACAAUCUGCGAGAGUUUGGGUUAUGUGUGGUAGGGCUGGUUCUUGUGCAUGUACAACCGGGGUGCUCUCUCCACCAAGAGGUAGCACUAUUUUCUUUGAAGACCAUGUUUUUAGUCCGUUAGAUACUGGCAUCACCCGCUCCAAUUCAAAUGGCUGAUAAACAGGAAACAUAGUUGAAUGUACAGACAUUGUAUGAGAGACAGAUGCAAUAGAUAGUGUGGAAAAAAGAGAGCAUGAAAUAGUUGACAUGUAUAUUGUUUAACUAAAACGGAUAGCAUGACAUAAUUUCACAUAUAUGAUGUCUAUCUAAACUGGAAAACAUAGCAUAACAUAAUUCAAAGAUAUGAUGAAUAACUAAACAUGAUCGCGUGACAUAAUUUACCUACAUGUUAUCUAAGUAAUCAGGAUCGCAUCAUUUAAUUCACAUAUAUGAUUUAUAUGCUAAACAGAGGGCAUUCGAUAUGAUGUCUGAACUAAGAACAUGGUGUUGAAUAUUGUGUAUAUGAUGUCUAAACUAUGCAAUGCAAGACACUGUAUGCAUGACAUGAGCAGUAUAACCGUGCCAAGUUAGAUCAUACACCUCAGUUGGGGAAUAGGACUGGUCAUCUGUCUCUGAAUCCAUGUCUGAGCAGCUAUCGGGACCCAACAAGAGAUCUGCUUCGACAGGUAGCACUGUCUGCUCUGAAGGCCUUGUUUUCACUCCAGAUUUUUCCAUCUCCCACCCAAAUGGCUGAUUCACAGGAAGAGUAGUUUAAUGUACAAACAUUGUCGACAAAUGGAAAUGUAAUGAAGAAAAGGAUGGGCAAGAUAUCAUUCAAAUAUAUGAUGCCUGGUUAAACAGGAUGGCAUUGCACAUUUCACAUAUAUUAUGGCUGGCUAAAAGACAUGAGACUGCAUAAUUCCCAUAUAUGAUAUAGAAACUAAACAGGUGGCAUUACAGAACAUGUCUAAACUAUAAGUGCAUCUAGUGCCACCCCUAGUUGGUUUUGGAGUAUUGACGACAAAGUUGGUUGAGGGACUAAUGCGUUUGUGAGAAUUGCAGGAUAACGCAGGUAGUGUCCCUCAUUCAUUCGGUUUACCUACCGGAGAUGACCCCUAAAAAUGUAUGAAGACAUUGAAGACAAUGGUGGUAUGAGAAGAUAUUCAUAUUGAAGACUAUGACAUGAGAAGACAUUGUGUGAAGACUAUGGAGCGCGAAGACUGUGUGGUUUCGUUGUUUCUUUUUCUGCUUUGUUGAGUCAUAGGAACCACCAUACUGUUAAGUGGGGUCCAAGUGAACUAAGUCAGAGUGACUGAAGUGAUGCUCAACUCAAAUCCUAUGUCUUCGAGCGAAGACAAUGAGAGCAAACCUUAUCCAGAGCUGGAUGAGUCAGCUUUACUUGUAGCCCAAGUAAAGUUGCCGCGUGUGUUUGAAAUCUGACCGUUGGAACACGUGUCAGUUCCUUAGUGACCCAGGGUCAUUUUGGACAAAUCAGGUCGGGUUGCCUAGUGGCCAUAAAUAGCCCAGCCUCUACACCAUAAAUUGGCGGCUGCUCAGAGUUUGUGCACGGCUUUUGUCGUUUGAGAGCAACCCACCUCGAAGCAUUUGAGAGAGAGAAAAAUCCUUGCGAGGACAAAGCCCAAACACCCAGAGCCAAAGAGUGUUAGGCAUCACUGAAGUCUUUCUGUCUGUGUGACCUGAAGACUUAUUACACUUGAGGACUGUAAAUCCUCCAGCCAGUUAGGCGUCGCGUUCUAAGCAUCCAAGAGUCAUUGUGUAUUGCCGGUGAGGGAAGUCUGUGAAGGUUUGGAAGUCUCCCUUGAAGACUUACCAGAGUGAUUGCGCGAGGACUGGGUGUCCUUAGCUCAAGGGGAAUAAGGUGAAGACAUGGUCUUCUGAGUUAAAUCUCAGCCUCCCUAACCAGACGUACAGUUGUCACAGCAACUGGAACUUGUCUAACAAAUCCUGUGUCUUCAACAAGCAACUGGUUCUAUCCCUUCCCAACCUUACUUUAGUUUGUCUUCGUGAAGUCAUUGCCUAUCUGUGUAUCUGUUUGACUUCAUUGCUUGACUACUACUGUUGAUUGGCUUCAUACUAUCUUCCAUCCUGAUCCUUUCUACCUAGCUGCUAUUAGUCCCGUACUUUCAUAUCUUUGUAUACUUGACUAUGGCUUGCUUUGGGUAGUUUAUCUUCCACUGCAUUACAAUUAGGUCAUUUCUGUUGUUUGUCUUCGAAACUUCCUAGUAUUGAAGACUUUCGUAAAAAUCGCCUAUUCACCCCCCUCUAGUCGAUAGUAGCACUUUCAAUUGGUAUCAGAGCAAGGUACUCCCUUGUUCUGUGUGAUUCGGUUUAACCACCUGGAGUUUCAGCUAUGUCGACUGCAGGGAUAAUCAAAGUCUCCGCUGCUUGCCCCGUGUUCAAUGGAACUGAAUAUCCCUACUGGAAGAAUAAGAUGCGUAUGCAUCUUGAAGCCAUUGAUGUCGACCUCUGGUAUGUCAUCAAGAAUGGCGUACCCAAAACUGGUGAAGGUGUCACCCCCACUGAUGUCAAGAAGUUCAUUCAACUGGACUCUACUGCAAAGAACAUCAUCUGUGGUCAUCUGACCAAAGGACAGUAUGGCCGUGUGAGUGCUCUGGAAACGUCAAAGCUAGUCUGGGACUGGCUAUCCAAGGUCAACGAAGGCGUCUCAACCCAGAGAGAUCAAAGAAUCAGUGUUCUUCGCAACCUCUUCAACCGCUUCAAGAGAAACGACAAUGAAAAUGUCCAGCUGACGUUUGAUCGCCUCACUGAUAUCACAAAUGAACUUCAAGCUCUUGGCGCAACUGAGAUUACCAAGCAUGAAAUCGUCAAGACACCGCUGAGAUCACUUGACAGCUCCUUUGACACCCUUGCCCUCAUGAUACAAGAACGUCCUAACUUCAAGACACUCGAUCCGUCUGAUAUACUUGAGAGGCUCAACACACAUGAGUUCCAGCUAUCUGAGAAAAGAGAUAUAUAUGGCCCAAACUAUGGCCGAACUCGUGCUUUGAAGGCAAAAGUCGUUUCCUCAUCUGAAGAAGAAUCUGACUGCAGUUCUGAAGAUCCUGAAGACAUUGGAAGGAAACUUGCUAUGCUUGUGAAGAAGUUCCAGAAAGUCACAAAGAAGAAAGGCUUCAAAAAGUCUUCACGAUCGAGCUCAAGGAAUGAUGAAGCUUCCACCCAUUAUCACAAGAAGAGAACCUGCCACAAGUGCAAGAAACCUGGUCACUACAGAUCUGAGUGUCCACAGUGGGACAAUGAGAAGAAGAAGAAGAAAAACAAGGAAUAUGAUUCCGAUGACAACAACAAGAAGAAAUCCUCGAAGUCCUCUAAGUCUUCUUCCAAGUCUUCAUCUGGCAAGGCUCGUGCUUUUCUUGGCAAGGAAAUGGAUUCAGAGGAGGAGUCUGCUUCGGAGGAGGCGGAGGUGGAGUCUGGAGAGGAGUCUGACCCUGGCAUUGCAAGUCUGGCUCUAGCCACAGCCUAUGUCGCCAAGUCCAUCUUCAACACUGAAGACAAUGACUUCCACACCAACGCUAAAGCUAAUGACGAAGACGAUCCUACUCCCACUACUGCUUUAUGGCACGUGGUGCCAAGGUAAAAUCACGCGAUGCUUACUUUCAAGCUUCAAGUAAAGAUGACUCUGAUUGUGAAUCCAAACCCAGCUACAAAACACUUGCUAAAAUUGCAACUGAACAACAAAAGGCUAUGGAACAUACUCAAAAACUGUUAGACAAAAGCGAUGACCUAUUGGACGCUGAAAUGACACGUUCACAGUCCUUAGUUGAUGACAUAAAAAAUCUUCAUGCUAAGUACCAAGAACUUGAAGGUCGUCAUGAAUCGCUCUCAACUACUUAUGAAAGGCUCUCCUAUGAUUAUCUUCAAAGGAAACAAGAGCUUGAGAAAUUGAGAACGGCUCAUGAAGAUCUUCAAAAGGUGAAUGAGUCACUUCGCUCUCAACAGACUAGUUCCGCUCAAGAUGUAUUUGAACUACCAUGUCUAAAAUGCAUUGAGCAUGAUAACGCUACAUCUAUUGCUGAAUGUUCCACUGCUACUACUGUUUCAUUGUCUUCACCUACUAAUGUGGUUACUAACCCCUCUGCGGAGGAUACCACUACUGUUGCUGAUGAAAAUGCUAUGUUGAAGACAUUGCUUGAAACUGGAAUGUACAAAAGUUUGAAGGGACAUCAGACUCUCUGCGAUGUCCUCAAAAAGCAGAUUCUGAAUCGAAACCCUAGGAAAGAGGGUGUUGGGUUCGAAAGGAAAAUGAAUGUUGAUGGCUCAUACUGGAAGCCUGAGCAGUACCCCAAAACCACAUGGGUUGCUGCAAAGGAACCUUCAGUAGAUCCUUCCACCUUAUCUGGCUUUAUCUGUGCUAAUCCUAUUAUCAUUGAUGAAUCCUUUGAUGCAAACUAUAAGCUGUUCAAAAAUCAGAAUGGUGAAGUGUUUGCCAGGUACAUUGGUACUAACUGCAGGAAUGGACCACCUAUGAAGAAGAUCUGGGUACCAAAGCAGUACAUUGAGAAUCUUCCUGUGAAUGUCGUCAUGACACCACCAAGGAAGAAGACAAACCCCAGACCAAUAGCUUCAUGUGGCCCAAAGGCUUCAUACAGAUACAGGACUCACAUGAGUCACCCUAAUGCCAAUGUUUUGCAAGGAAAUCAUGCUCAGACUUAUGAAUAUGAGCGUGUAUCUUCGAACCGCUAUGUUCAUAGGACUAAGAACUUUUCUGCUUAUUCAUAUGAGUAUCAUUCAUCUCCUGCAAGGCUAUUUGCUAGGGCUUCAAAGCCAAAAUUCUCAGAUGCUGCACUAAGACUCAUUGCUUCUAAGCCACCACUGAAGAUGUGGGUGGCAAAGAAGAACUAACUCUCUUUCGCAGAAAACGGUCUCCAGCCAGCAAUCAAUGGCGUCCGAUACUAUUGCUGGGGACCUAAAACUCAUUUAGGACGCACGAUAAAAUGUCAUUCUAUGUACUUCACAUCUGAAUCUCUUAUCAGUCAUACUAUGCCCUAACAUUGAUAUAAGCUGUGACUGUCCCUAUAUGUGUCAAAUGCUUAUGCUUCACAACACUCUUGUGAAGCCUAUCCUCCUAACUGCACUGUAGGGUACAUCACCAAAAGCUUCAGAAUGGAUUAUGGACAGUGGAUGCACAAAUCAUAUGACUGGUGAUCGAAGUCUUCUCGUGGACUCAACCUUACGUCCAUCCGACAAGAGUCACAUUACAUUUGCUGACACUGGUAAAAGCAAGGUAUUGGGUCUAGGUAGAAUUGCAAUCUCAAAGGAUCAACACAUGGAUAAAGUGAUGCUUGUUGAAUCCCUUGGUUUCAACUUAAUGUCUGUCUCAAUGCUUUGUGACUUGAACAUGAUUGUGAUAUUUGGAAAAUAUCGUUGCCUUGUACUAAUGGAAUCUGAAAAAUCUCUAGUCUUUGAAGGGUAUCGAAAAGAUGAUCUAUACAUGGUAGAUUUCUCAGCAGGUCCACAGCUUGUCGUAUGUCUUCUCACAAAAGCUUCAGAAUGCUAGCUCUGGCAUCGAAGGCUAGGACAUGCUGGUAUGAGGAACUUACACUCACUCGUCAAGAAGAAGCAUGUCAUUGGCAUUGAGGAUGUCAAGUUCAAAAAGGAUCAUCUGUGUGGUGCCUAUGAAGCUGGAAAGAUGACAAGGGCAAAGCACCCCUCGAAGACAAUCAUGACAACAUCUCAACCCUUCGAGCUGUUACACAUGGACUUAUUUGGACCUACUCACUACUCCACCCUCGCAACAACUGCCUGUCUCUAUGGCUUCGUCAUUGUUGAUGACUACUCAAGAUACACAUGGGUUCAUAUAAUUCUUUACAAGACUAAAGUGCAAGAUGUCUUCAGGCGCUUCGCAAAUCGAGCAAUGAACAAUUAUGGUGUGAAGAUCAAGCACAUCAGAAGUGACAAUGGCACUGAAUUCAAGAACACUGGACUUGAUCUGUAUCUGGAUACAAUGGGAAUCACUCAUGAGUUCUCUGCUCCAUACACACCUCAGCAAAAUGGCAUCGUUGAGCGCAAAAACAGAACCCUCAUUGAGAUGGCUCGAACAAUGCUAGAUGAGUACAAGACACCAAGAAAGUUCUGGCCUGAAGCUAUUUAUACAGCAUGUCACAUCAUCAACCGUGUGGACAUCCAUAAGCUGCUGAACAAAACAUCUUAUGAGCUACUUACUGGCAAGAAGCCAAACGUUAGUUACUUCAGAGUAUUUGGAGCUAGAUGCUAGAUCAAGGAUCCUCAUCACAAGUCAAAAUUUGCACCUAAGGCUCACGAAGGCUUCAUGCUUGGCUAUGGAAAGGAUUCACACUCCUACAGGUCUUCAACCUUUAUCUCUACAAAAUCGUUGAAACUAUGGAUGUGAAAUUUGAUGAAACCAAUGGUUCACACAGAGAGAUUCUGCCAAGUACACUAGAUGAAGCUCCUUCAAACGAGUCUAUCAAGCUGAUGAGAACUGGUGAAAUCAUGCCCUCUAAAGCACAGCCUGAAGAGGAACUUAUCAUCUCUGCACCAAAUCAACCUGAAGACAAUGCUCAGACCGAAGACAAUCCUCCCAAUGAUGACAAUGAUCAACCAGAGCAAAAUCUUCGUCCUGUUCAUCCUCGUGUUGCAAAUGAAGUUCAAAUAGAGAAGAUAAUUGACAGCAUCAAUGCACCUGGUCCGCUCACUCGAUCAAGAGCAACACAACUAGCAAACUUCUGUGGGCACUUUUCAUUUGUGUCUAUAUCAGAACCCAAGAAAGUUGCUGAAGCUUUUAUGGAACCUGAAUGGAUUCAAGCCAUGCAAGAAGAACUUCAAUAGUUCCAACUGAAUAAUGUCUGGGAACUCGUCAAGCGACCUGACCCUUGCAAGCAUAACAUUAUUGGAACAAAGUGGACAUAUCGAAACAAGCAAGAUGAGCAUGGUCAAGUCGUCAGAAACAAAGCACGUCUUAUGGCUCAAGGAUAUACUCAAGUUGAAGGAAUUGACUUCGAUGAAACAUUUGCUCCUGUUGCUAGGCUUGAAGCUAUUCGCAUACUGCUAGCCUACGCUAAUCAUCACAACAUCUUGCUAUAUCAAAUGGAUGUAAAGAGUGCAUUUCUCAAUGGCAAGAUUGAAGAAGAAGUAUAUGUCGCACAACCACCUGGCUUUGAAGAUCCAAAACAUCCUGAUAUGGUGUACAAGCUAAACAAAGCACUGUAUGGCCUCAAACAAGCUCCUCGUGCCUGGUAUGAUACAAUCAAAGACUUCCUGAAGAGCAAAGGCUUCAAACCUGGAUCCCUCGAUCCCACACUCUUCACGAAGACAUAUGAUGGUGAACUGUGUGUGUGCCAAAUAUAUGUGGAUGACAUAAUCUUCGGCUGCACCAACCAGAAGUAUAGUGAUGAGUUUGGGUACAUGAUGCAAGAGCAAUAUCAAAUGUCCAUGAUGGGUGAGCUGAAGUUCUUCCUUGGUCUUCAAAUUCGUCAGCAAAGAAAUGGCAUCUUCAUAUCUCAAGAAAAAUACCUCAAAGAUUGUCUGAAGAAGUUUGGAAUGGAAGAUUGCAAAGGCUACACGACGCCAAUGCCAGCCAAACACCAUCUUGGUCCUGACGACAAUGGUAAAGAGUACGAUCAAAAGGUAUACCGCUCCAUGAUUGGUUCUUUGCUUUAUUUAUGUGCAUCUAGGCCAGAUAUUAUGCUUAGUGUUUGCAUGUGUGUUCGAUUCCAAGCGGCACCAAAGGAAUCGCAUCACUUAGCUGUGAAGCGAAUUCUUCGAUAUUUGGCUUACACCCCAACACUCGGAUUGUGGUAUCCCAAGGGCUCAAAAUUUGAUUUGGUUGGAUUCUCGGAUGCUGAUUAUGCUGUUGACUAGGUGGAUCACAAGUCUACAUCAGGCACAUGUCAUUUUCUUGGUAGAUCACUUGUCUGUUGGUCUUCAAAGAAGCAGAACUGUGUAUCACUCUCAACUACUGAAUCUGAAUACAUUGCUGUUGGAUCCUGUUGUGCUCAGCUUCUAUGGAUGAAGCAAACUCUCAAGGAUUAUGGCAUCAACCUGAAACAAGUACCUCUCUUCUGCGACAACGAAAGUGCCAUCAAAAUAGCCAACAAUCCAGUCCAACACUAGAAGACAAAGCACAUUGAAAUUCGUCAUCACUUUCUCAGAGAUCAUGUUUUGAAGAAAGAUAUCGAUAUCAUUCACGUCAACACUGAAGAGCAACUGGCAGAUAUCUUCACAAAGCCCUUGGAUGAGAAAAGGUUUUGCAAGUUACGGUGUGAGCUAAAUAUCUUGGAAUCCUCUAAUGUCCUGUGAUCAGGCACACCUCCUAACACUUAUGCAUGUUGAUGACUUAGAUGUGCAACACACAAAGUAAUGUAUAUCUUCAAUCAAUGAAGAUUUACACUCUGAGUGUGAAUACAUUAACAUGGAAUUUGACUUCGGAGCACCACGAUAAUUGUGCGCUGUGUCUGGGUCUAAUACUUCCUAUACGGUGGGUAACGCCACCACCAACUUUCUCUGCUUGAAGUGUGUAACGCCCCGAGACCGACGCUCCAGAAGACUUCCAUAUUUUCGUGAUCACCGUGUGUUUCUUUUGUGCUUGCUCUUUUAUUUUUUGCAUUGCAUCUUGUCAUCAUGCCAUCAUGUCAUUAAUCUUUGCAUCUCAACUCAACAAAUAAAUUGCAUAGAUCGUUGAUCUAUUUAAAUCGAGGGAUAUUCACAUGGUGAUUUCUCUUUAAAACAUAUUCAAAGUAUCCUACUAUUAUUAGGGAGCUAUAAUAAAUAUUUCAUUUUUUUGGAAUGGAUCAUAACACACUUGCAAAUAAAUCCCAAUGCCUUUGUUAUCUCAAUUCUUGGUCUCCAACUCUACCCAUAAAUUCUUUCGUCAUUUUCCUGAGCUCCACCAAAUUUCUCAACAUUUUUUGGACAUACCGAAUACCCACUUCUUUCUCACACUCAUUUGAAUUGAAUUCAAAUGAGGUGGAAUUCAACUCCACGCCCACGCUCCCUUUCCAUUUUCUUGGAUCAAGCUUAUUUUUGUGAGUCCAGGGAAAUUAACCCCUUGCGCAUAUUCUUUCCCUAACCCUUUCUUUCUUUCCUUCUCUCUAAUUCUUUUCUGUUAAGGAAAAUAUGAGAGGAAGGGAGAGAGAGAGCCUGCACACGCUGACCUCUUGGGCCUAACCAACCAGGCCGGCCCAACCAUCCCCCGCAGCCCACCUAAACCCUAUCUAACCCUAGCCUCCCUACGCUCGCUCCCUCGUCCUCCCACUCCGCCGCCACACACACGCACGCACACAUCUAGCGCCAGGAGGAGCGCCCGCGCUCGAUCCCCAUGGCACACCUCCCCUGUCAGUGACGCCGCCGUCCUUCCUCUUCUGCGCCGGCGCCGUCCAUCCUCGUCACCCGAGCGCCCGAGGAGAGGAGCUCCUCGAGCAUCUGCGCCCGCAACCGUCGUCCUCCACGCCCAGCAGAAGUCCCGCCUGCCUUGCCGUUCGACGCGCCGCAUGGAGAGCCUCGUCUCCGUCCAGUACUCGCGCCCGACCUCCUUCCCCUGCAUGACUCCUUCCACCGCGACCAAGAUUGCUGCCUCCCCGUCGACCUUCCUCUCCUGCUUCGCCUCGCCCGCGCCUCCUUCUACCGGCCAUCCCCAUGGCCUCGAGAUCCUGCGCCGACAUCCUCCUUCAUCAGCUGCUCAUGAGCACCUCCUUCCCCAUGGUGCUGUGACCCCGUAACUGUUCCCGCUAAUGAGUGUCGCUCGAAGCCAGCGCCUUGCCUUUGUUUGGAACCAGGGGCCGACGCCCCCAUCGCCCGUCAUCUUCGAGUCAAGCUACCGUUGUCGCUUCCUUCGACUAAUGCUGCCGCCUCUUUGCCAAUGCCAUCGCUGAGCUACCCCAGGACCCGUGGAGUCAUGCACGGAAAAAACCAAGUCCGAAGACUACCGUGGCCGUGUAUCUCGCCCAGUACCACUACGGUUUAUCGAGACCGCCAAGUUCGACUACACGGUGACGCAUCAAGUACCUCUACCGCGGCUACGGGAUCGCGAAGAACGCAUACCUCGACGACCCGCCAAGUACCCCUUCGGAUCGUCAAGUUCAUCUACCACGUGUACCACUACCGUCGCAAGAAUCGAGCCCUCUGCCAGGAGAUUGGGGGAGAUGCUCUGUUCCGCACAACGAGCUGGCGAAGCUCCAAGCGGGGGGAUAUCUCCCUCCGGCCUUCAUGGUUCCGGUUCGAGCCGGGCUGGCGACCUACCAAGGUGGGAAGCAAGCGGAGGCUACCCCAAAUCCCAACAAAGGGGAGCGGGUAUGCUUCGUCCCCUAUCUGAUAAGGGGACUCGGAUUUCCUAUACAUACGUUCCUCCGCGGGCUCCUGGAGUUCUACGGACUCCAGCUCCAUCACCUUACGCCCGCCUCUAUCCUGCAUAUCACGGGUUACGUAGCCCUUUGUGAGCUAUUUCUGGGCAUCGAGCCCCAUUUUGCACUAUGGAAAAGGUUGUUCUGUCUCAUACCCCGUUCAUGAGGGGUCCAUAUAUCAAGUGGGCGGCGCCGAAAUAUGGCGCAUUGCCGGUACCGGAUAUCCAUCCGGAACCCCUAAGAAGGCGUCCGAAGACUGGCCUUCGGAAUGGUUGUACAUAGAGGACACUCCGGUGCCGAACCCUGUUUGGGUCGGCCUCCCGGAGUUCAGCACUGCUCCCUUGAAGAAACGCCUUAGCUGGCGCCCGCGGAGCCCCCAACUGGAGGAAGACAAGAGCAUCCAUUAUCUGAUGGGUCGAAUAAUAUUAUUGGCCCACUCCGGGUUGACCAUGAUAGGAGUCAUGGCAACAUGCAUUACGCGGGGGGUGCAGCCACUGCAGUACAGGGGCCACCCCAUGUGGGAUUUCAACGGGGAAGAUGAUGCCACCCGUCACGGCCGCAAAGGACCGGAUUCGGACGAGGAUCUGGUGCAGAUCCUAUCCGGCCUGUACAAGGGGGAGAAGGAGGACUUCCUUCAGACGAACCCCUUGAAUGGGUUCUCCAUGAGUAACCCUCUGUGUUGGGUAAGCGAGCACCUUUAAGGGCCCGACCCAUGUUUUCAAAGUUUAAGCUUCUCAUACUAUGUCUUCGGCGCAGGAACUGCGCCGGACUGUGGAGGACAUGAUAAGUCCAGCUCCGCAACCCGAGGAUCCGGAGAGAUCCCGGGAUACGGCCUCCGAAGAGGAUCCGGACAUAAAGGUGGAGCUAAUCGACGGGGUGUUCCACCAGCUCAGCAUGGAUAAUGCUUUAGUCGCCAUUACGGCCGACUACCCCGGACUAUAUCCGGCUUCCCAGGUGAUUGUGACCGAAGUCCUGACACCAUUGUUCCUUCCUUGUUUAUUUCUGACCAUCGUAUAUGAUGGCGCUGUACAGGAGGCGCCUUCAGGGCGGCAAGCCGAGCCUGCGGUGGCUGACCAACAAAGGCCAGUCCGGACCAGUAGGCGGAAGAGGAGCGCGCCGCGGACCGAAACGUCGCCGCAAAGGUAUAGCCCACAAUCCAUUACUUGGAUCAACGUUCCUAGGAAGCGUUUGAGUGCUCAUGACUUGUGUAGGAGAAAAAGCGCCCGCCGGACUGCGGGCGUGGAGGUUGCCAAUCCAACCUCUACCAUCCAGGCUCCAGCACCUGGUCUGGAGGGGGAUGCAAGCGCAAGGCGCGAGCCGGACACUCCUCCGACGGAGGAUGCCGACAGACUAUCCGCCACCAAGUCUGAGGUGGAGAGCGCCAUGAACCAUAGGCGCCGCCGGACAGUGUUUCGUGACGCGUGCUUCUCCCCUGAGGCAUUGAAUGCCUUUAACGCGGGGGACGUGCACCUCCGUGCUGCUCAAGAUGGCUUUACCAGAGCCACGGAGCAAUAUGUAAGAGACAUACGGGUAAGAGAAUUUAAUAGUUAUAUAUGCCAGUAGCCCCCGAGACUUAAAGUAGUUAUGUUAACUGAUUUAAGGAUCAUUGGAAACACAGGAUCUUACUGAGAAGAAUACCCAGCUGUCUCACGAGCUGCAAGAGUGCAAGACCCAACUUGAGGCCGCACUUGCUGCCGCAGGAGGAAACGCAGAGACCCCUCCUGGUAACACAUUUUUAUUGAUAAAUAUGAGCGCUGUGCGGCGUGCGCGCAAGUCUAAUAAUGACAUUGCAGGUGCCACCGGACAAGAUCCAGACAUGCAAGAAUUACUGUGCCAGCUGAAGGCGGCGAGAGGGUGUUGAAUAGGGUGCAGCAAGAGAGGAACAAGCUCCAGGAUGCCAACGCCAACCUCGGAGAAGAGCUGAAAGGCGCUCGGGCCGGGCUGUCCGGCUCCGUUAAGGAGAAUCAGCGGCUUCGUCGCGGCAUCUAUAGUAAGUGCUUGAGCGGACUCCUUUGAAAAGAAGAGUUCGGCGAGGAAGUAAAUUGACAUAAUAUGUCUUGUAGGCAUACUCACAGGUCGCCCUGCGGAGGAGAUGCCCAUAUCAACGGGUGAUCAACUUCCCGAGCUGUUGCAGCUGCUCGAACAAGUUCGGCAGGCAAUGAGCAGCGUCGUCCAGGCUUUAUGGCCAGCCCUCUCCCUACCCGAGGGCCUUGGGGAGCUUGCAGAGAAGCUUCAGGGAGUGCGGCAGUGCUUCCGUUUGUGGAAGAUUUCGGCCUGCCACCAAGGUGCCAGGGAGGCUUGGGCCAUGGUGAAGACGCGUUACAAGAAGGCGGAUCCCAACCACAUGGCCGAGGUCGGACCUAUGGGGCCCGAUGGGGAGGAGAUCCCUGUGAGUUUAGUAUACGGCCAAGUAGAGUUGGCCGCUAAAUUUUCCCAACGGGACUGUAAAUUAGACAACCUGUUAGAUGGGAUUGAGGAGGAAUACAGUCAGUAGAUUUGACAAUGUAUUUUUAAAAUGACAUGUGAAAUGCCUUCUAGCCGGAUUGUAGAUUGUUUGUCUUUGCCGACCUUUCCGCUUCUACCUCGGGACCCUAGAGUCCGGAGUGUGUCCGAAUACCUUCUUGGUUAAGAAACAACCGGGGUAUGCAUGGAGACCAGGCGUAGGGGUCAUUAGUGCUUUAUCAGACAAGUGCCCAACUAGUUAUGUUAUAUUACAUGGUUAGUAAGAAACAUCUUCCAGGGAGAAUAGUUCUGUUAAUGGUUCCUUUCCUUGGGAGGCAUACCCUAAAGUGCAUGCCCGAACUGCGAAAAAAGCAGAAAAACAUCUGGGGGCAGAUAAAUAAGUAGGUAAAAAAUCAUCUUUCAAGUCACCGACCGAGUAUUCCCUUAAGAACGCUAGCUUUCGGCUUCACCCAGUCUGAGGUACACAUCCGGCUGACCUGGCAGUAACAAUCGCAGAGGUGCUCCCUUUACCUCCUAGCCGAACAAUCGAGAACGUAGGGGUAAGCACAGGAGCCAGGCAACCCAGCUUGGCCAAAACUUAAGUCAUAUCGAUGCAUAUAAUUGUGAGUAAAAGGUACAUGUGGAAGCUUGACACAUGUGCUGGGCAUGAAGCCCUUAUAAUUGAGCUUCUGGAAAAGAAGCCCCCACAUAUAAUGAGUGCGGAUGGCACAUCAAGUGUAUGCGAACAAUGCGCAAGUAGGCCCUUAAGGGCUUUUUAGUGAAAGGGUUAAGAGAAGAAAGAGAAACAAAAGACAGAUGAAGUGUAAAAAUUUGACCGGGGGAAGGGGACGAACUCCUAGUUCGGCGCUAGGCAUAGAAUUUUCGGUUGCGGGCUGCGUUCCAUGGGUUCGGCUCGAGUCGGUUGUCCGACGCAUUUCGUAGACGGUACGCUCCGCCGGUCAGGACUUGAUCGAUAAUGAAGGGGCCCUCCCAUUUGGGCUUGAGCUUGUCCUUUUUCUUGUCCGGCAGGCGUAGAACUAGUUCGCCAACGUUGUAAGUCUUGGCCCGUACUUCUCUGCUUUGAUAUCUUCGAGCCUGCUGCUGAUAGAAUGCGGAACGAGCCUUGGCGAUGUCGCGUUCUUCCUCCAAUGCGUCCAAGCUGUCCUGCCGAUCCAGCUCGGCCUCUCUUUCUUCAUACAUGCGCACUCGAGGUGAGUCAUGAAUAAUGUCGCAGGGAAGAACUGCCUCUGCGCCGUAUACCAUAAAAAAUGGUGUGAAUCCGGUAGUACGGUUGGGCGUUGUCCGCAGCCCCCAGAGCACGGAGUCGAGCUCCUCUACCCAGUGCGUGUCAGAUUUAGUAAGUGACCGCACUAGUCUGGGUUUAAUGCGGCUCAUUAUUAGACCAUUUGCUCGUUCCACUUGACUGUUGGUUUGAGGAUGAUAGACUGAAGCGUAGUCGAGCUUAAUGCCCAUGUUUUUGCACCAUGACUUAACCUCGUCGGCCGUGAAAUUCGUGCCAUUAUCAGUGAUGAUGCUGUGGGGGACACCAUAAUGGUGUACUACCCCGGAUAUAAAGUCUAACACUGGUCCGGACUCUGCCGUUUUGACUGGUUUGGCCUCUAUCCAUUUGGUGAACUUGUCCACCAUGACCAAUAGGUACCUUUGCUUGUGGGUUCCCCCUUUAAGGGGUCCAACCAUGUCAAGCCCCCAGACCGUGAACGGCCAGGUAAUGGGUAUAGUUUUGAGGGCGGUGGGUGGCAUAUGGCUCUGAUUAGCAAAGAGCCGACAACCGACGCAUCUUUGGACUAAGUCCUGAGCAUCUGCCCGGGCCGUCGGCCAAUAAAAUCCUGUACGGAAUGCCUUUCCUACAAGGGACCGAGCUGCGGCGUGGUGUCCGCCUAGUCCGGCAUGAAUUUCAGCCAGGAGGUUUCGCCCUUCCUCUUCGGAGAUACACCUUUCAAGGACUCCGGUUGUGCUUAUCUUAUAAAGUUCUCCCUCAUGGACCUUGUAGGCUUUAGAUCGCCGGACUAUGCAGCGGGCCUCAUUUUGGUCUUCGGGAAGUUCCUGCCGAAGCAAGUAGGCUAGGAAUGGUUCUGUCCUCAGGGCGAUAACUGCCAUUAUGUCGUGGGCUGAAGGUGUUGUGUCAUCGGCUGGAUCGCCGGUUGGCGCAGUUUUUUCUGGUUUGUCGUUUCCGGACUCUUCUUCCCAUAGUACGGAUGGCUUGAAGAGCCGUUCCAGGAAGAUGUUUGGAGGGACAACGUCACGUUUUGCGCCAAUGCGUGCCAAUACGUCGACUGCUUGGUUAUUAUCUCGGGCUACGUGAUGGAAUUCGAGUCCUUCAAACCGAGCUAACAUUUUUAGGACCGCGUUGCGAUAUGCUGCCAUUUUCGGAUCCUUGGCGUCAAAAUCUCCAUUUAUUUGGGAUAUUGCAAGGUUUGAAUCCCCGCGCACCUCUAGGCGUUGAAUGCCCAUGGAGAUUGCCAUCCGGAGACCAUGUAAAAGGGCCUCGUAUUUGGCUGCGUUGUUGGAGUCCGUGUACAUUAUUUGAAGUACGUAUUGGACUGUGUCCCCGGUCGGGGACAUCAAUAUGACGCCAGCCCCCAGUGCGGCCAACAUUUUAGAGCCGUCGAAGUGCAUAAUCCAAUUGGAGUAUGCGCCGUACUCUUUGGGUAGUUCGGCUUCUGUCCAUUCAGCGACAAAGUCAGCCAAAACUUGUGACUUUAUAGCUCGCUAAGGUUUGUAAGUUAUAUCGAAUGGUAAGAGCUCAAUGGCCCAUUUUGCAAUCCUGCCCGUUGCGUCGCGGUUAUUUAUAAUGUCAUUGAGUGGUACUUCGGAGGCCACUAUUAUCGAACACUCUUGAAAGUAGUGUCGGAGCUUCCGGGAUGCCAUGAACACUGCAUACGCUAUCUUCUGAUAGUGCGGGUAGCGGGACUUGCAGGGGGUUAACACAGUGGAUACGUAAUACACUGGUUUUUGAAGAGGGAAUUUAUGCCCUUCUGUCUCUCGUUCGACGACGAGUACCACGCUUACAACUUGAUGUGUUGCGGCGAUGUAUAAUAACAUUGGUUCGCCCAGGUUGGGCGGAGCCAGGACCGGAUUUGUUGCCAAUAUGGCUUUUAUUUCUUCGAGUCCGGCAGUGGCAGCCUCCGUCCAGUCGAAGUGUUCGGUGUGCCUAAGGAGGCGAUAGAGGGGCAAUGCCUUUUCUCCUAGACGGGAGAUAAAGCGGCUUAGAGCCGCCACACAUCCAGUCAAUUUUUGUAUUUGCUUGAGGUCUUUUGGGAUAUCUAGCUAUGACAGAGCUCGGAUUUUGGCUGGGUUUGCUUCAAUUCCUCUACUGGAUACAAUAAAGCCCAGUAGCUUUCCGGCCGGUACGCCGAAAACGCAUUUUUCUGGAUUCAGCUUGAUGUCAUAUGCUCUGAGGUUGUCGAAUGUGAGCCUCAAGUCAUCUACUAGAGUUUCGACGUGUUUGGUUUUGACGACUACGUCGUCUACGUAUGCCUCUACUGUUUUGCCGAUCUGGGUGGCCAGACAUGUUUGAAUCAUGCGCUGAUAUGUUGCGCCAGCAUUUUUAAGUCCAAAGGGCAUCGUAUUGAAGCAAAAUGGUCCAUAUGGAGUGAUGAAUGCCAUUGCGGCUUGGUCUGCUUCCGUCAUCUCAAUUUGAUGGUAUCCGGAGUAUGCGUCGAGGAAGCACAAUGAAUCGUGUCCUGCAGUAGCAUCGAUUAUCUGGUCGAUGCGGGGGAGGGGGAAGGGAUCCUUUGGGCAAGCCUUAUUGAGGUCUUUAAAAUCGACGCAUAGGCGCCAGUAUUUAUCCUUCUUUGGUACCAUUACCAGGUUUGCUAGCCAAUCCGGAUGUUUGAUAUCUCUGAUGAAUCCGGCCUCCAACAGUUUGGCUAGCUCUUCUCCCAUUGCCUGUCUUUUGGGUUCGGAAAAUCGUCGAAGAGCCUGUUUGACUGGCUUGAAUCCUUUUAGGAUGUUUAGGCUGUGUUCUGCUAAUCUGCGUGGGAUUCCGAGCAUAUCUGAGGGGUGCCAGGCGAAAAUGUCCCAAUUUUCCCGAAGGAAUUCUCGCAGUGCGGCGUCUACAUCAGGGUUCAAUUGUGCCCCGAUGGAGGCCGUCUUUGUUGGGUCCGUAGGAUGGACCUGGAAUUUUACUAUUUCGUCCGUUGGUUUAAAGGAGGUGGACUUGGAUCUCUUAUCGAGUAUCACAUCGUCCCUAUUCACCGUAGAGCGCAGCGCGGUGAGUUCUUCUGCCGCUAGGGCUUCGGAUAGUGCCUCCAGGGCUAAUGCGGCUGUCUUGUUUUUGGCGCGUAAUGCUAUGUCCGGAUCACUAACGAGAGUGAUUAUUCCGCCGGGCCCAGGCAUUUGGAGCUUCGUGUACCCGUAAUGGGGUACGGCUUGAAAAAUUGUGAAUGCCUCUCGUCCUAGUAUAGCGUGAUAUCCGCUGUUGAACGGGGCCACUUGGAACGUGACUUCUUCGGAUCGGUAAUUGUCCGGCGAGCCGAACACCACAUCGAGUGUAAUUUGUCCGGUGCAGCGUACUUCCCGGCUGGGUAUUAUUCCUCUGAAGGUUGUGCUGCUUCGCUCAAUACGGCUCCAAUCUAUUUCCAUUUUUUGAAGAGUUUCCUCGUAGAUGAGGUUUAGUCCGCUGCCGCCAUCCAUGAGGACCUUUGUAAGUCAAAAGCCGUCCACUAUAGGACUAAGGACCAGUGCGGCUGGUGCUCGGGCUAUUCGGAAUUUAGGUUCGUCGCUGGCGUUGAAAGUGAUGGCCGUGUCGCUCCAUGGAUUUGUUAUUGCUACCUGGUAGACUUUGGCGAGGCUGUGGAUUGUUCGUUUCCGCAUAUUAUUUGAUGCGAAGGUCUCGAAGACUGUUGAUACCGUACCGGUAUUGUUGGAGUGGUUUUUCGGGGCUAGAAGCUCCUCGCCACUUUUGUCCACCUGCCGUAAUAUCCAACAUGCUCGGAGGCUAUGUGUUGGGACAGCGCCCUCUGCACUGUGAAGUUUACAGGGUCCGCUGAGCCAUCCCUCCAGUACGGAUCCGUGCCCUCUAUGGGGUUUUUGCUUUUUUGUUUUUGUAUCUGGUGCCUGAGUGUAAUGCACCCUUUUGUUGCGGACUAGGGUUGGGAUCGGAUUGUCCCAAAAAUUAUUUUCGGUUUUCUGGAAACUCUCCAUCGCACAAUACUUUCAUACUAUGGACGCCAGGUCGGCGAAUCGUGUAAUUUUACGACGGCUGACGGCGUUCAAGAUUCCCUUAUUCGUGCAAUUAUUGCAAAAAAUUGAGAUUGCGUUAUCCUCUCGGCAGUCCUUUAUCCCGUCCAUAACCAGGAGGAAUCUGGCCCAGUAGUGAUGUACCGUUUCAGCGGGCUCUUGCCAGAUUAGAGAUAGAUCGCAUAUGUCUGGGCGGGUGGGUGGAAUUAAGUCCGGAACCCUACCCAUCUCAAGUCUUAAAGGCCAGGAAGUUUACAAAUUCGGGAGCUUGGAUUGCUGGACGUGGUCCAGCGAGUCCGGGGCGAUGCACGAUUUUAAGUUUAGUGCUCGAUCAAAGUCCGUCCCUCCACGGAAAUCGGGCUUGGAGGGUUCGGGAACCCGGACAUGACUAGUUUUCGAUAUAGGAGAAGAGUCGCCACAUUGUUCCUCUACCACUGCAACGUGGUGGGUGGCCUGGGGAGAGUUAAUCUCUCUCAGAUCGGUUUUAAGCCCAAUCUGAUUGUAGUCUGUAGAGACUCCCAGGGCGGCGAUGCGAUCCAAGAGCUCAUUGACAGAUGAGAGCUCUAUCGGAUCCAGCUGCUCGGCAGAUUCCGAGCUGACGCGAAGAUUGCUUUUGACAACUUGAGAAGUCAUUGUCGAAGCAGUGGCCGGACAGGCGGCCAUAAGAAAACCACCUAGCCGGAUAGUUUGGCCGGAGGCCAAGGCCCCUUUGGCGAAAAUACCGUCCUUGAAGACGGGUGGAGGCAUCCUUCCUAUUGGCGACGACACAGAGGAACUCUCAAUGAAAGCACCAAUGUCGGUGUCAAAACCGGCGGAUCUCGGGUAGGGGGUCCCGAACUGUGCGUCUAGGCGGAUGGUAACAGGAGACAGGGGACACGAUGUUUUACCUAGGUUCGGGCCCUCUUGAUGGAGGUAAAACCCUACGUCCUGCUUAAUUAAUAUUGAUGAUGUGUAUUACAAGAGUGGUUCUACCACGAGAUCAAGGAGGCUAAACCCUAGAAGCUAGCCUAUGGUAUGAUUGUUGUAAUGGAGGUUAUGUCCUACGGACUAAAGCCCUCCAGUUUAUAUAGACACCGGAGAGGGCUAGGGUUACAUAGAGUCGGUUACAAUGGUAGGAGAUCUACAUAUCCGUAUUGCCAAGCUUGCCUUCCACGCCAAGGAAAGUCCCAUCCGGACACGGGACGGAGUCUUCAAUCUUGUAUCUUCGUAGUCUUGGAGUCCGGCGGACGAUGAUAGUCCGGCUGUCCAGACACCCCCUAGUCCAGGACCCCCUCACUCGUCUCCGUUGAGUACCCGCGCCCGACCUCCUUCCCCUGCGUGACUCCUUCCACCGCGACCAAGAUCGCUGCCUCCCCGUCGACCUUCCUCUCCUGCUUCGCCUCGCCCGCGCCUCCUUCUACCGGCCAUCCCCAUGGCCUCGAGAUCCUGCGCCGACAUCCUCCUUCAUCAGCUGCUCACGAGCACCUCCUUCCCCAUGGUGCUGCGACCCCGUCACUGUUCCCGCUAAUGAGUGUCGCUCGAAGCCAGCGCCUUGUCUUUGUUUGGAACCAGGGGCCGACGCCCCCAUCGCCCGUCAUCUUCGGGUCAAGAUGCCGUUGUUGCUUCCUUCGACUGAUGCUGCUGCCUCUUUGCUAAUGCCAUCGCUGAGCUACCCCAGGACCCGUGGAGUCAUGCACGGAAAAAACCAAGUCCGAAGACUACCGUGGCCGUGUAUCUCGCCCAGUACCACUACGGUUCGUCGAGACCGCCAAGUUCGACUACACGGUGACGCAUCAAGUACCUCUACCGCGGCUACGGGAUCGCCAAGAACGCGUACCUCGACGACCCGCCAAGUACCCCUUCGAAUCGUCAAGUUCAUCUACCACGUGUACCACUACCGUCACAAGAAUCGAGACCGACAAGUCCGAAGACCCCAAGUACCACGACGAACAAUGAAUAGUACCACUACCUCCUCUACUGUCGACCCCGUGGACAUCAAGUUCCUCGUCGUGACGCCGAUCAUCUAUGGAAUGCGUACGACUACAAAUACGUGAACCACUACUUCCACGACAUAACGUGUACGACUACUUCCCCUACGACCCAUGAACGACUACUUCCCUCGAUGAUUUUGAACCGCCCCGAAAUGCACGCUUCAAAGGUAUAACUCCGAGACGAUCAACCGUGGACCAAAUGCAUGUGUUGUAUGAGAUGCUCGUGUUUGCACCGUGUCCGAGAGAGGUCUUUGCACGUUCCUCGUUUGCCAUGCCGUCGACCCAUGGGAACCCGGUAGUCGGGAGCACCCCACCAUCUCUUGCGUGUUCUACACAUCCGCACACUUCUCGUUUGCAUCGGUAUCUCAAUCAAGUUAUCAAGAUCGAUAUGUUGCCGUGGCAUCAUUUUUGAAUUCGUUGCAGUGGCACCCCUUUCGUUCCGCCACGGUGAAAAAUGCUUCAUAACAUGCUCAUGUCAACAUUUUCAUAAAAAUUGCAUAAUACUUCCAUAUGUCAUCCGCAUCAUGAUAACAACAAUUAAAAUGUUUAAAAUUGUUGUUGCAUUAAAUUGCUAAAUAACAUGUGGAUUUUCCGGAAGUGUUGUUUGUCCUCCGGCCUCAUUUAAAUUUGCCUAAAUAGGUAGUUUACUUAUGUUUCACCUCUUGCCAUGUUUAUAACCACAUGUAAUAUUGUUGUGUUCCUAAACAAGAGAGAACUAAAUAAUUGAUGUGGUGUUUCGUUAAUAUGCAACUCGUUGCAUAUUGAGCUCUACUUAACUUGUAGUGUUGUUUGUGCAUAUUGCCAUGCCAUGCCUCAUUAAACCGGACAUGCAUCAUACUUGAUUGUGCAUCAGGCCAUGAUUAUGCUUGUGUGUUUACCAUGUUGUUUGCUUCUUUCCGGUUUGCUUCUCUCGUUAGCUUCGGUUUUGUUCCGGAGUUGUGAGGAUUCGUUCGACUAUGUUCGUUUGUCUUCUUCAUGGACUCAUUCUUCUUCCUUGCGGGAUCUCAGGCAAGGUGACCAUUACCCUCGAUAUCACUUCUAUCUUUGCUUGCUAGUUGCUUCGUUCUAUCACUUGUUUACCAUGCCUCCCAUAUUGCCAUGUCAGCCUCUAACAUUUUCACCCUUCCUAGCAAACCAUUGAUUGGUUAUGUUACCGCUUUGCUCAGCCCCUCUUAUAGCAUUGUUAGUUGAAGGUGAAGUUGAAGAUUGCUCCAUGAUGGACAGGAUUAUGUUGGGAUAUCACAAUAUCUCUUAUUUAAUUAAUGCAUCUAUAUACUUGGUAAAGGGUGGAAGGCUCGGCCUUAAGCCUGGUGUUUUGUUCCACUCUUGCCGCCCUAGUUUCCGUCAUACUGGUGUUAUGUUCCCGGAUUUUGCUUUGCUUACGCGGUCGGGUGAUUUAUGGGACCCCCUUGACAGUUUGCUUUGAAUAAAACUCCUCCAGCAAGGCCCAACCUUGGUUUUACCAUUUGCCUACCUAAGCCUUUUUCCCUUGGGUUCUGCAGACUCAAGGGUCAUCUUUAUUUUACCCCCCUGGGCCAGUGCUCCUCCGGGUGCUGGUCCAAACCGAGCGAUGUCUAGCGCCCCCUGGGCAACCAGGGUCUAUGCCAACCCGACGUCUGGCUCAUCUAGUGUGCCCUGAGAAUGAGAUACGUGCGACUCCUAUCGGGAUUUGUUGGCACAUCGGGCGGCUUUGCUGGUCUUGUUUUACCAUUGUCAAAAUGUCUUGUAAACCGGGAUUCCGAGACUGAUCGGGUCUUCCUGGGAGAAGGUAUAUCCUUCGUUGAUCGCGAGAGCUUAUCAUGGGCUAAGUUGGGACACCCCUGUAGGGUUAUAAACUUUCGAGAGCUGUGCCCACGGUUAUGUGGCAGAUGGGACUUUGUUAAUGUCCGGUUGUAGAUAACUUGACACUUGACCUAAUUAAAAUGCAUCAACCGCGUGUGUAGCCGUGAUGGUCUCUUCUCGGCGGAGUCUGGGAAGUGAACACGGUCUUGGUGUUAUGAUUGUGCGUAAGCAGUUUCAGGAUCACUUCUUGAUCACUUCUAGCUUCACGACCGUUCCGUUGCUUCUCUUCUCGCUCUUAUUAGCGUAUGUUAGCCACCAUAUUUGCUUAGUGCUUGCUGCAGAUCCACCUCAUUACCCUUUUCCUACCCAUAAGCUUAAAUAGUCUUGAUCUCGCGGGUUUUGAGAUUGCUGAGUCCUCGUGACUCACCAGAUACUAUCACAACAGUUGCAGGUGCCGAUGAUACCAGUGCAGAUGAUGCAACCGAGCUCAGAUGGGAGCUCAACGAAGAUCUUGGUCAUUGCUAUGUUUCGUUUCAUGUUGAUCAGUAGUGGAGCCCAGUUGGGACGAUCGGGGAUCUAGCAGUUGGGUUAUCUACUUUUCUUUUGGCUUCGUCCGUAGUCGGACUAUGUGUGUGCUCUGAAUGAUGUAUGAAUUAUAUGUUCAUUGUGUGAAGUUGCAAUUGUAAGCCAAUUCUUUAUCCCAGUCUUGUUCAUUACAUGGGAUUGUGUGAAGAUGACCCUUCUUGCGACAAAACCACAAUGCGGUUAUGCCUCUAAGUCGUGUUUCGACACGUGGGAGAUAUAGCCGCAUCGUGGGCGUUACAAGUUGGUAAUCAGAGCCAUCCCCGACUUAGGAGCCCCCUGCUUGAUCGAAUCGCUGGCGUUGUUGAGUCUAGAACAAAAAUGUUUUGAGUCUUAGGAUUAUAUAUAACGGAGAGUAGGAUUCUUUUUACUCCUCAGUCCCUUCGUCGCUCUAGUGAGGUCUCCUGACGUAGAUGUUUUGACUUUCCUCUCCUCAAAUUUCACUAAAAAAAAUUUAGGAUCACGCGUGUAUCUUGGGAUCGUUUAGAUAUUCUUAUGACAAGAACAUUGUUCUUGGUGCCUCCUGACAUUUAGGGGUUGUGGCAGUGCCCCGGGGAGUUGAGCUCCAAGGUGUUGUCGUCAUAAUUUUAUCGUUGCAAUUCUUGAAUACCUGAGUUUUGCCAACAUCAAAAAUCUCUUUUAUGCAGUUGUUGGUGAGAUAACCUCGACGUCACCCAGUACUGGGGAGUUCAGGAGUAUUGCCAUAGCUUGUAUAACGGAUGCUUUUCGAAGGUUGAGGUACACGAUUUCCGAAGGUUUCUUGGUUAUGUGUUGACGGAUGGAUACAGCUUGGAUGCAGGGAUUGUUAGUUUUGGGUGAGAUAUAUAUUGCUUCCCCUGUAUCCCCAACACCAGAUUGCAUAACCAGAAAGUUUCGGGAGUUUUAUAGGUGGGAAUUGAAGUAGCUCUAGUUUUUUUCUUUUCGACAGAUGCAUGAUAUGAGAUUGGGGUUCGACGUCUAGUGGUCCGCCUAUCCACGGUCGUUUUUUACAGUGGUCUCGUUGUGUCUUAAAGAACCCUUGGCUAUGCUGGUUCGGGGACACUUCGUAUGUCAUGUGCACUGCCUUCUACAUGAUGGUGUUGUACGAUCGAGCCCGUGUGGGCCCCAGCACGAAAACUUCGGACGAAAUCUCUAUCAUAUGUUUGUUCCGGCUUAUUCUGCAAGCCAAAUCCUUUGUAUUGUUUUAUUUGUGGUAUUCGAGUUGCUUCGAAGUCAAAUGUUGAAUCCAUACUUUUCCAAAAUGGUGUUCUCAUAUUUCUAUGGGAGUGCUAAUCCUUCUUGAUCAUUGAGGUUGUCAUGUUAAUUCUUUUCCCAACUGGCGUGCUUCUCUCCAGGCUAAUACUAUCAUUUUUUCCAUUCGUGAGAUCAAUUCUAAGUUUUCUCAACGGUAUCCAUUCCAUCUGCCCAAGUUGCCUUUGUUUUCCCGCCCUCCCACCCUUUUCUUUGAGGACUCAGAUUUCUUAAUCAAGUAUCCUUUUAUUGAUGGGAAGACUCUCCAUUCUUUUCCAUCAAUGUUCUGAUCCGGUGAUUCUCAGGAAGAUACUAACGGAGCUUCAAGUUCAGCAUCCUCUGUUCUCUUUUCUUCUUCGGUGGAUCCAAUUCAAGCUUUCAGUGUCUGAUCAUAUUCCUUUCCUCGUAUCAAAUGCUUUCUCAUGCCGGUGGACCUCUCAAUCACUCACCUCUUGCUAUUCAUUUGUUCCAGAGUGUUGAAGAUAUCUCAGAAGAUUUGUGUCUCCACUAUCAAACCGUUCAAGCUAUUUGGAGAUUAUUAUCUCAUAUGAAGUCAUUUAAUUCAACUGGUGCAAUUCCCCCCUUUCAAUCAAUCGUUCAAUGGUGUAACUUUGAGUGGGCCCUAACACACAGGUCUUUUCUAGGAUCUUACCUGACUCUUCUAAUUCUUUCUGGAGUUAUUCUCAAAUUCAUUGCAAAGUUUGACGAAAGAAUGAAUUUUAAUCAGUCACAUGCCUUCUCCAAGAUCGUUUUCAAAUUCUUUUCAUCUUUGGCUCAACCUUUUUUCUUUUAAUACUUCCGGGGUGUCUCAACAAUUCAUGGUGGUGUUUCUAGUCGUCAUUCUCGAAUUUUGAAGACUGAAGAAGAGUUCCUCUUAAAUCCUUACCCGUUCAUCCAGAGAUUCAUGGUUCUAGCGUUAUGCCAUCCUCUCAUAAUUGCUUUCGAUUGUGAGAAUUCUUUCCAUCCAUCCGGAGCAAUUCAGGAGUCUUUUCAGUUUCAUUCUCCGGAGCCAAUCAUCUCAGAAUUAUUCAUUCUCAGCUUUCAGCUCUCGUUCUCAAAUUCUUCCGGUGCAUCGUUCAAAUACCCUCUAAUAAGUUCAUGAUCUCUUCGUUCUCAUGUGUCUAAAUCCCCUCAAGUAUCUUCAUUCAUCUUCCAACUCUUCCCGGUGAAUUGUGCCUUUGCUACUUUCAUUUUCAGUUCUUACGGUGCUUUGUUCAAGAUUCCUCUUCCUAUGUUCUCAUAUUAAUUUAUUCGUUGUUUCCAAAUCUCACCGGUGGUUCCAUUAAUACCUUCUCAAGUUUGCGCUAUAUCUCUCUUAAUCCUUUCUACUAGAAUAAGUAGUAUGCCAAAUCUGUUGCUUGUCAUCAAUUUAAAUUGGUGAAGGAUACGCAUAACAUAAUUCUUAUUGUUGUUUCAUCCAAGUGAUUAAUCCUUUCCAUCGGAGUUUGUUCAGGAGGAAUAAAUUCUUGGCUUCUUGUUGUUCAUCUUUCUUCCAGAGUUCUAAGUUUUCCGCAUUAUCUCGUCGCGAAGCUCCAUCUAAAUCAUCGCAAGGCUUCACCUUGUGUUUUCAACUUCUCUUUGUUUUUAUCAUCCAUUUAUUACCGGAGUGGUGGUUCGUCAAGGAUUCUUUUCAUUCUUCAAUUGUUCUUCAAGAUUUAUCUAGAAGUUAAGAUCAUCCAAGCUAUACUAAAAAAUUAAACAUGGUGUUUAACACAUGUCUUGUUUUGAGGAGUUCAAGCAUUCUUCAUCUUGCAUUCCAAAGUGCAAUUCUUUCUACCUUAUCUUGUGAGGUGGUGUUAGGUCAUUCUUGAUAAUUUCCCUUCGCGUUUCAUGAUUCACAAGUUUUCAAGAGUGACAUAUUUAAAUCCAUCAUUUUCUCUUGUUCAAGAGAUCUUUUCAACCGUCAAUCUCUUCAUUUUAGUUAUCUUGGUAUAGAUUUCACCUAAAGCCUUCCCUAAGGAAUGUUGCUAUUUUGGUGCUUAUUAAUGACCCAAGUUAUCUCUUUUCCAUCUUGAUGGAACAAGCUUUCAUCUCUUCGUUAAUCUCAAGCAAGCAAUUGUUUCCGUUAGUGGCCGGUUGUCACCUCAUAAUGUUGAGAUGUUUCCAUAAGCCCACUACAAACUUAUUCUUUUCGUUGUUGGUCUUCCAACAACUCUAUUCUAACCUUCUUGCAAGGAUGCCUUCCAAAUUCAAUUGUGGUAGAAGUUGUCAUUUUCUUCUCCGUCCCUUUAUCCCAACGGUCUAGCUUCUAUUCUUUCGUUCUGGAGGCAUUGUGAUGUUGUGCUCUUCACCCAUCACCUCGUUUUGUCAAGAUCGUGUUCUUUUCGUGCUUAUCCAUUUAACCAGAGUGUUGUGUCAUCUCUUGAAGUUCUUUUCAUCUUACCAAGUUUUGCUCCUCUUGUCAAUCGGAGUGCUGCCGAAUUUUUCUUUCCUUGCUUCUCUUCAACCAAAGUGGGUUCAGAGUCUAUAUUGUUCCUUGGUCUCUUGGUUCUUGUCGUAUUCCCUGUUGCUCUUGUCAAACGGAGUGUUUGCAAUCUCGUUCAUCUCCGUUGUAUUAUUUCUUUCAAUUUGUUCAACCUCUCAAGGUUUGUGGGUUCACUCGUUUGUCAAAGAAGCAACUUAGUUUUACCUCUUCUCUUCCUCUUCCGUUUCUCUCUGGUGCCAUCCUAGAUCUCGGGACGAGAUCCUCUUGUAGUGGUGGAGUGUUGUAACGC